Molecule: long non-coding RNA, 84154 nt
Filed under: Gossypium barbadense (sea-island cotton)
Lineage: Eukaryota; Viridiplantae; Streptophyta; Magnoliopsida; Malvales; Malvaceae
Description: long non-coding RNA (GBAR_LNC021316)
Source: RNAcentral
UUGAAUCAUCGACGGUGAGAGGCGGUAACCGUAAUUUUCCGACGAAGAAGUAAUGGUUGAAACUGAUGUCGGUUAAACAACUUGUUUCGCUUGCUUCUAACCAUAUCCCGGCGUUUUUAAGCUCUUUUACGUUACGAAACGGGUGUGAAUGGUGAGGUUUUAUUCUUGUAUGGUUUCUGCGAUUUGUGAAGGAUAUGCAAAACCUAGAAGGCCAUGGUUUUUCUUUUUUGAAAAGGAGUCUUACUCGUAGUAGAUGCAAUAAGUGAAUUGGCUCUUUAUUUUUUUCUUGCAGCUGCUGCCACCAUUCACUAGAGCAAAAUCUGUGUUAGUCGGGAGCAAGCUAAAAUUAAGGUUUUCAAUGGUUGAAUCAAAUCAUUAUUAUUUAAUAAAAAAUUAUUUAAAUUAUUAAAUUACAUUUUAAUCCUUUUAAAAAUUAUUAAAUUAUAAAUUUGUAUACAAUAAAAUUAUAUUUUGACUCCUCAAAAUGAAUAAAAAAUUGUUUAAACACUUUUAAAAAAUGAUGACAUCAUAAAUUAAUGCAAAAAAAAAAUCUAAGAAUUAAACCAAACUUGUCUAUCGGCCUAAUUAAACAGAGAAUCAAGCAAGGUACUAAUCCAGAAUAAUAAAUUAAAUCCAUUGAAUCUAAUCAUCAAAUCGAUUUUUUUUAUAUUUUUAAUAUAUCUUUAAUAUUUUUAAAAUUUUAUAUAAUUGAAUCGAAUAAACUAAUCAACCAAAAAUGAGACUCUAAUGGAUUGUAUCACCUAUAUAUGUAGUUGUAAAAAUCCUUUUAACAUUUAUAAACUCCACAAAUUGAUUCAUUUAUAAAUUCCUUAAAUUACCUGUCCUGCUGAUGUGAUUGUGGGUCUUUAACAGUGCCGUUGAUGAACCUUAUGAUUGCCUCCAUGAAUUUUGUGCCAUCCUUCGAUCUUGUAAGCAAUUCAAGAACACGAAAAGGUAAUUGGUUUUCCAACAAGAACAGAUCCGAGUACACAAAUGUUAGCAAUUCGUUUUUAAUAGAAAAUUCGUUCGACGUACGACAACGAUCUUGGCCGUAAAGCAUAUAAACUGCUUGUAAAAUUGCGCAGCCGUCAACGAAGAACAUCCAAGCCAGUUUCUCGUUAUCGUUGCUAUAGUUCUCUAAUCCCUUUGGAUCAUAGCAUUUCUUUAAGCCAUCGAUCUCUGUCUUCAUGUUGUUGUACAAGGUAUCCUUAUCGACGCCAAUUUUUUUAACGAAAAGUGCUGCUAAUUUGAGCUUGAGCUUCUCGGAUUUAUGGAGGGUGGCAUCAUCGUGGUAGAAUGGGCCGAUUGAGAUCACUUUCGGCUUGAAAUACUUACUGAAAUCUUCGUGACGACCAAGGGUUGAUGGGACUCUUUGUAUCAAUGGUUUGGCACCGAGGUCGAUUUCGUCGCCGUCGAAAGCUUCGUCUAAUGACCGGAGAUUCACUACUUCGCCAACGCUGAGAGGGACGUCCAUAUCAAUGCUCACGGAAUCGUUGUUGUCGGUGAUUGUUUGAUCAGUGGAAACUGCUCCGACGGCGCCGCCUCCUUCCUCCGUGGAAGACAUUUUCAGGCUGAGCGGUUGGAAGUAAUAAAGAAGGUGAUUUUGUAAACUGCUUUUGGCUGAGUGAGUGAUGUUGGAGAAAAGGUGGCAAAGUGGAUAAGAUGAUGACAAAUGUUUUAUAGCUUACAUGAUAAACAUAUAUGGGAAAUACUUAAGGUGUAAUUCAAAUUUACCCUUAGUGUUUAUAUUUUUACUAUAAUUUUAAUUUUUUAAUUAAAUUUAUUUCUCUUUUGAAAGAGUCAAUGAUAAAAAAAGAAAAGAAAAGUUAAAUUAAUGUUUUUUAACAAAAAUAGUAACAAAUAUUAAAAUUGUGAAUAACAUUAUAGAACUUAAAUACUCAACGCAACUCAAGAAACUAAUGGUGGGUCUGGAUGGGCAGUGCGGUGCGGUGCGUUUAGCCUACUUUUUGUCUCAUACUACAGUGUUGCUACAGUAUCUAAUCUCACCGCCACCACUGUUUUUACACUAACCACAGGUAAACGCACCGUCCAUCCAAACUCACCCUAAGACCCUAUCAAAGGGAGAAUUUUAUAUCUACAACACUUCCUAAAUUUCAUUAGCUUAAUAAUAGCUAUUCAAUUUUUUUUUUCAUUUUUUUACUUAAAUUAUUUUUACUUACUUUAUAUUAGAUAAAUUAUUCCAAAUAUUUAAUAUUUUACAUAUAAUAAUUGCAUUUGUUAUUCUACCUAACUCAUGAAAAAUCUCAAUUUUGCAACAUCACAUGCCAACCAACCAAUUUAUUAUUCACAUUCCAACUUUCUAAAUGCAUCAAAUAUUUCAUAUUCAUGUACUAACAAAGAUCAUGCCAAGAACCCACAUGCAAAGUCAUUGUAUAGUACCACAUUUAACUCAAUCGGACUUUUACACAACUAAAGAUUACUCCAAACGUUUAUAUGCAUGUCACAAUCCUUCACUCAAAAUGAUAAAAAAAAAACUAUUAAAUUGACGAUAAAAUAGUUUAAGCUUCGACCGAUCCAACCGACGUGUUCUAGCAUAUAAUAUGUUUAGUAAGCUCAUAUGGAAACUAAAACUUACCUAGAUCAAUUGAACAUAAAAAAUUACUCAAUAAGCUAUCGAAUUAAUUUUUCCUUAGCACUUAUAUAUAUAUAAUACAUGUAACAACAUUUCAAGUCAAAAGUGUUAGAUACAAUGUUGAAUCAUAAUCCUGUCAACAUUUAAAACAUAAUCACAUAGCAAUCUAUAUACCAAAUUUCAUCAAUACCAGUUCAUUUUCAAUUCAAGAUUUAAUUCCAUUUCCAACCAUUUAAUCAUCCUCUGAUGGAACUACAGUAAAAAAGACCUAGGUACAUGGGAAUAUUUUGCUGACACUGUAACGAACUUACUCACAAAAGUUGACUUUAUAUUGGAAUUGUUCACACAAGUUAACUUUGUAAUUUAUAUAAUGUAAAAUUUAAGAUUUUUAUAUUAUGUAAAUCAAAGCUUAAUAUUGCAUAACUAAUUAGUUUUGAGUUUUCAAAAUAAUAUGGCUUUAUAAAGAUAUAGAAUUCUUGAUAUAAGUCUUAACAAGGGAAAAUUUAAGGAUAGGAAAAUUGUGGUGGAAAGGGGGUCAAUUUCUCCUAAACAGGUGGAGAGCUGGAGAAGGGUAAGAGAAGGAAGAUGGUUGAUGUGAAGGCUAAGAGUAAUUGUUAAAGGUUGCUAACAGGGAGGAUCCCUUUCUCAUGAAGAUGAUUUUUAAACACCGUGUUAAUUGUUUAUGGGCCAUCAUGUUUGACGAUAAUUUUUAAAUACUGUGUUAAUUGUAUAUAGCACAUCAUGUUUGACAAUAAAUUUUAAAGACUUUUAAACGUCGCAUUAAUUGUUUAUGGCCCAUUGCCCAUGUUGCUUUUAUUAAAUUUUGGGUAAACUAUAAGUUAAUCACUUAAUUUUUAUAAAAUUUCAUUUUGGUAAAAGAAAAUCUCAGGAUAAAACAAAAAUUAGGAUAAAUGUAAUGUUGAAAUGAAUAUAGUGGGAAUCUUUAAUGUUUAUGGCCAAACCCCACCUCUCCUAUCCUAUACUUCAUCUAUCAUAAUGAUUCUUGGCUUCUUCUACAAUUGCCUUCACAAAAUGAAGCUGACAUUUGAGGUUGUCCUUCAUUUACUUUUGUUUUCUUCCUAUGAUAUAAAUGCAAGUAGAAUAUAAAUUAUACAUUUGUAAUUCCUCAAUUAUUUGGAUUAAAUUGAAAAACAAUCUCAAUUAUUUGGAUUAGAUUGAAAAAUAAUUGACACUUGAUUUGAUUGUGAAAGAAGUUUUAGUUUAAUGAAAUGAAUGAGUUAAAUUUUAAAUUUAUAAUAUUUAACUUGAGUGUGAAUGAAUUUUUGACUUAAUUGAAAAUUGAAAAUUUUAUAAAUUUUGUUUAAAUUUAUUUUGAUUUAAUUCUCAUAUUGUAUAUUCUUAAUUAAAUUCGGAAUAUAUCAAUUUAGUCAUACAUUGUAACGAUGGAUUCGAAUUAUAGUUAAUUAUAUAUUGAAACUAAAAAUCUUAGAUUUUUAUCAACAUUUGCCGCCUCAUUUAUGGUGAAUGGUAUAUUUCCCAUUUGGUCCCCCUUUCUUUUUAUUAAUCUAUAAUUCUACUUCUACCCCCAUUCAAUUUAGCCCUUUUUCCUAAUUUCUCUUAAUUAAGCUAAAUUCACUUAAUUAAAGCCUAAUUAAACACACAACUAGCCUCACAAAUAUUCUUAAUAAAUACUUACGAACUCGGUUCACUAAGACGGAGGCCCUAUAACUCACUUUUCUAGUGCCCGUGAAUUUUGGAUCAUUACACCUUCUUCCGUGGACGACAUUUUUAGGCUGAGCGGUUCGAAGUAAUUAACAAGGUGAUUUUGUAAACUGUUUUUGGCUGAGUGAGUGAUGUUGGUGAAAAGGUGGCAAAAUGGCUACAAUGUUUCUAUAGCUUAUAAAAUGAACAUACGGAAAAUCUUUAAUUAAGAUUUAAAUGUAUAAAAGUAUAAAUUAUAAUAGUAAAAUUGUACUUUAAUCUUAUAAAUCGCAAUACUUUAAUUUAGUUAUUUAAAAAAUUAGAAAUAUAUUAGUUAAUAUAAUGAUAAAAUUACGUUUUAACUUUAUCAAAAUUUAUAACUUAAUUUCAAUCCAAAUUCUUACUUCACCCUUAUUUCUGCACUAAUAAAAGUUAUAAUCUGUGUUAAAUAUCGGAUUAGUAUAUGGAUGAUAUUAAAAAUAUAUAUAAAAAUAUAAAAUCUCUAAAAGCUUAAUCAACACACAUUCAGGUGUACGCUUUUAUUAAACUUUGAUUUUUUUAGUACGAGAUUAUCUGGAUUCUUUAAAAUAAUGUUAUGGAUAAGUUUUUGUUUAAUGUAUUGAUUGGUUUUUUUUUUCCUUUUAGAUUUGAUGAAUGAUAGAUUUUUGUUUGUGAAGUUUAUCUAUGAAUAUUUAUAUAAUUAUUAAUAAUUUUAUAUUUAAAAUUUAUUUAAUAUUUUAAAAUUUUAUCGAUAAUUUUGAAAGGAUAUAUAAAAACAAAUCGAUAUUGAUAUGUAUCAAUUUCUGUAGAAAAACGGUGCGUCCAUCAGUGCAAUACUAACUACCUUGGAUAAGAAAACAUUUAAUCCUUAAAUUUGGCAACUUUUCUCAACUUAGUCAUUAAACUUUUUUUUUAUCUACACUAGUCUUCUAACUUGACAACUUUUCUAAAUUUUGAUGCAUGUGAUGACAUCGCAUUCUGAUUUUGUAUCAUAGGGGUGUUCGAAUUUCGAUUAAAAUUGAAUUAACUGACCGAACCAAUCUAAUUCAGUUAAUCAGUCAGUUAAUCAAUCUAGUUCUAUCAGAGGUCGGUUAAAAGUUUUUUGGAAUUUCGGUUAACGGUUAAUUCGAUUCGAAAUUAGGUAAUUAACUGAAUUACCCAAACUUAAUAAAUUAGACUUGUAGGCUAGGAAGCACAGACACGGCUCAUCCCUCCUCGUACCGGUAUCGUACGUGUGUCCGACACAGACACUCGACGGACAUGCCUAGAUACGUAUGGAACAAGCUGGAAUAUGCCAAAAAUUUUUUUUUUUAUUGCCAUAUCUUGCUGUAUCCGUGUCCUUAUUUUCUAAAAAUUACCAUGUUGCUGUGUCUGUAUCAUGUCGUACCCGUAUUGCGUGUCUGUAUCCAUGCUCCAUAGCUUGUAGGUAAGGGCCGAACAAAGAAUCCAGUAAGGCAGUAGUCUAGAAUAAGGAGUUAGACCAAUUGAAUCGAGUUAAUGAAUUGAUUUUCUUUAUAUUUUUAAUAUAUCUUUAAUAUUUUUAAAAUUUUAUAUGAUUUAACCGAGUGGUUAAUCAAUAAAAAUUGAGAGUCUAAUAGAUUUAAAAAAAAAAACCUUUUUAACAUAUAUAAACUCCAAAAAAAUAUUCUUUUUUAAAUUCCUUAAAUUACCUGUCCUGCUGAUGUGAUUCUGGCUUUUUAACAGUAUUGUUGGUGAACCCUACGGUUGCCUCCAUGAACUUUUUGUCAUCGUUCGAUCUUGUAAGCAAUUCAAGAACACGAAAAGGUAAUUGGUUUUCCAACAAGAACAGAUCCGAGUACUCAAAUGUCAGCAGUUCGUUUUUAAUAGACAAUUCGUUCGACAUAUGCUCAUAAUCUUGGCCAUCAACAUCAUCAUUACCGUAACGAUAUAAACUGCUUGUAAAAUUGUGCAGCCGUCAACGAGGAACAUCCAAGCCAGAUUCUCGUUAUCGUUGGUAUACUUAUCUAAUUCCUUUGGAUCAUAGCAUUUCUUCAAGUCAUCGAUCUCUGUCUUAAUGUUGUUGUACAAGGUUCCCCUAUCGACGCCAAUGUUUUUGACGAAAAGUGUUGUUAAUUUGCACUUGAGCUUCUUGGAUUCAUGGAGGGUGGGAUCAGCGUGGUGAGUGGACCGAUUGAGAUCACUUUCGGCUUGAAAUACUUCCUGAAAUCUUCGUGACGGCCAAGGGUUGAUGGGAGUCUUCGUAUCAAUGGUUUGGCUUUGGGGUCGAGUUGUUUGCCGUCGAAAGCUUCGUCUAAUGACCGGAGAUUCUCUAAUUCGCCAUUGCUGAGAGUGAGCUCCGUACCCGGCAUUGGAAUGAUCGUCUCUUGGGGAUUGUUGGUGGUGGUGUUUUUGGUGAUUGUUUGAUCAGUGGAAACUGCUCCGCCGGGAGCUCCGACGGCGCGGCCUCCUUUCUCCGUGGACGACAUUUUCAGGCUGAGCGGUUCGAAAAAAGGUGAUUUGGGAAACUGUUUUUGGCUGAAUGAGUGAUGUUGGAAAAAAGGUGGCAAAAUGGCUACGAUGACGACAAGUGUUUCUAUAGCUUAUAUAAUAAACGUAUGGAAAAUAUUUUGGUGUAAUAUUAAAUUUAACCCUUAAUAUUUAUAUUUUUUUAAUUUGAUUCUUAUUCUUUUUAAUUAAAUUUAAUUCUCUACCUUUUGAAAGAGCCAAAUUUGAUUACCAAUCUUUUAGAAAAGAGUUGAAUCAAUAUUUUUUAAUGAAAACAGUGAUUAAAAUAUUAAAUUUGUAAACAUGACAACUCAUAUGGUAAUCCAUGUGUACAUAUUUUUUAUUUUUUAUUUUUAAAUAAUUUGUUGACGUGUGACAUAUAAGAAAAGCAGUGCUAUGUUAGCACGAAGUGCACAUGGAUUGCCACACGAGUUGUAACACCAACACCGUUAAAAAUUUAAUAUUUUAGUUAAUAUUUUUGUUAAAGAAAAACAAUUUAACUCUUUUUUGAAAGGUUAAUGACUAAAUUUAGCUCAAAUAAUAAUAAUAAAAGAACAGAGGCCAAUUUGACAGAAAAAUGUAAAUAUCGAGGACUAAAGGCCAAUUUGAUAGAAAAAUGUAAAUAUCGAGGACUAAAUUUAUCAUUAUGUCAUUCUUUUUAAGGUUAACUUAUAUGAAUACAAUAUAAGUUCAAGUACAAAUAUAUGUAUGGAUUAAUCUAGAAAGAACUAGACAAAAUCCACACAUGAUAUACGCAUAUGAUGAGAGUAAAACUCACACAUCACAAUUAAGAAUAAUAUUAUAAAACCUAAAUACUCAGAGACUUAAAACCUUCGCAUUAACCAAAAAGUGAAGACCCCAUCAUAUGGAGAAUUUUAUAUCUACAUACGACAAUAUUUCUCGGAUUUCAUACGCUUAAUACUAGCUCUUCAAAUAUAUUCAUUUUUCAUUUUAUUACUUAAAAGUUAUUUUGAUUUACUUUAUAUUGAUUUCAAUCAUAUUGAUCCGUAGAUAUUGUUUCAAUAAGAAAUCGAAUUUUUUUUUUUUAAAUGAGAUGAUUUUGUUGUGGGUUUUUUAAAAUAGUGUUACGGAUAACUUUUUUGUUUAAUGUUUUGGUUGGCUUUUUUUUUUCUUUUUUUCGAAUUUUUGAAUGAUGAAUUUUGCAUGUAAAGAUUAUUGAUGAAUAUUUAUAUUUAUUUAAUUUCAUUCAUUUAAUGUUUUUAAAUCUUUUUUAUAUAUUAAAUAUUUUAGAAAUUUAUCGAUAAUUUCGAAAAGAUAUACAAAAACAGGCCAGUACUAAUAUGUAUCCGUUUUUGUAAAAAAAAUGUGCGUCCAUUAGUGUAGUACUAACUACCUUAGAUAAAAAACUGUUUAGUCCUUAAAUUUGGUAACUUUCCUCAACUUAGCACUUAAGCUUUUAUUUUAUCUACAUUAGUCUUCUAACUUUGACAGCUUUUCUCAAUUUCGAUGCAUGUGAUGACACAACACUAUGAUAUUGAGAUGCUAUCAUCUAAAAAUUAUAUUUUUAAUAAAAAUUAGGUGUUAACAUGGGAGAAAUAUUAUUAUAAUAACCAAAAAUGAGAAAAGUUGUCAAUUUUCAUGAUUGAUGUGGACAGUGGUGAAGAUAAGGGGCUGGUAGGGGCAGAAAUUUUUUUUUCAUUUACGUCCUUUUAUAAUUUAUAAAAUUUUAAAUUAUUAGUGGUAAAAUUAUAUUUUGUCACCCAAAAAUAAAAAAAAAUUAAUUUAAUCCUUUAAAAUGAUAAAGUUAUAGACUAUUAAAAUGGUAAAAUUACAUUUUUAUUAUCAUAAAAAUAUACAACUUAAUUCCGGCCCCUCCCAAAAAAAAUUUUGGCUUCGCCCCUGAAUGUGGACCAAAAAAGAAAGUCUAGAGACCAAAUUGAAAAAUUUUGUCAAAUUUAAGGAUUAAAUGUUGUCUUAUUAUUUUAUUUAACAAAAAGUGUGCUAUAUACACCAAAGUCUCGUAAUUGAAUAAUAAAAUUUUGAUGUUUUUAAGUAAAUCUUGAAUUUAAAUCUUAUGAAUAAAGAAAAUAAUACUAAAUAAAUUUUACUAUCUACUUACGAAUUCAACUCAAUUUCAAAUUUAACUACCAAAUAUCAAAGCUCUUAUAAAAAAAAAAAGGUAUUGUAAACUUUGUUGUAGUGUAUUUUAUUUUGAUCCAAAAUAGUGAAAAGGAAAUGCAUCCUAAAUUUAUUCAAACCAAAUUAUUAACUUUAAGUGUAAAUUGGGUAAGUGUAACAUAAUUGUUCUCUUUUUUUUUUUUAAUUUAGUCCUUUUCCUAAAUACAACAUAUAUUUUAUAAUAGAUAAUUGAAUUAAUUAAACCAUCAGUUCAUCGCUCAGUUCAACCUAAUGACGGAACGUAAGAGGAGAUUCCCUUCAAAAUUUUAGAAAAUUAUCACUAAAUUCUUCAAAAUAAUUUACAUUUUUACUUUUUACUUAGGACUCCUAAUUUUUUAAAAAUCCUAAUUAAGCCUCGCAAAAAGUGUUGAAAUUUUCAAAAAUUUCAAAACUUCUCGUUAAUUUUUUUUAAAAAUUUUGAUUAAGCCUCUUAAAUUUUAUUUUUUUUAAAAAAUCUCAUUAAACACUAAAAAUUAAUUUAAAUAGAUUGAAUCGAAAAUCCAGAAUUACAAAAUUCUCAUAAAUAACCAGAGUUUACAAUGAGAAUAGUAAACAACAAUUACUUUGGUUGAUGUAUGGUAUAAUAAGUCUGCAAAGCAGCAAUAAAAAGCCAGCAAUGGCACCCACAAAUGCGAAAAACGUCCAACGAGUCCUAAAAUAAGCAUGAUAAGCUUGAGCUAGAUAUUGAAUCCACAUAUUCUUACAAUGAUUAUGUAUUUUCUGUUUAACAUAACUGUAACUAGGAACCAAAUCAGUGUUCAUAUUCUUGAUAAGCUUAGCCACUUCUUCAUCACUCCUCAAUCUAUUGUAUAGUAUACCGGCGUCUCUCAGUUCCUUAACAUCUUCGACUUCAUCGAUCAAUGAAUCAAGGACACCCAAAUAUGAAGUGACGGUGAAAUCGUUUUUGAAAUCCAGACACAUUUCGUAAGCUAUUAAGUUCAUGGUUGAAUCAUCGACGGUGAUCGGCGGAAACCAUAAUUUCCCGACAAAGAACACAUGGUUGAAAUUUAUGUCGGUUAAACAACUUGCUUCGCUUGCUUUUAACCAUAUCCCGGCCUUUUUAAGCUCUUUUACGUUACGAAAGGUGUGUGAAUGGUGCAGUUUUGUUCUUGUUUGGCUGCUGCGAUUUAACGUGCACAUGAAACGAGUGCAAAACCUAUAAUGCCGCCAUGGUUUUUCUUUUUUUCCUUUUUUGAAAAGAAGUCUUUCUCGUAGUAGAUUCAAUAGGUGAAUUCGCUGCAGCCUCCAUUCACUAGAGUAAAAACUGUGUUAGUCGGAAGCCAAGCUACAAUUUCUUUUCUUUAUUUUAUUUUAUUUGGAAUUGUAAAUUUUUAUCAAAACUAAAAUUAAGGUUUUUAAAAUGGAUAGUAAAACCAGUCAAAACAUCUAUUUAUAAGUUUAAUUUAUCCGAUCAAUUCAUCCAAUUUGAUUAAAUAAAUUAUUUCAAAUUUCAAUUCGAUUGUCCGGCUUAAUUAAUUUAUUUUCCCGAUUCAACCUGUUCAUAUAGGUUCCCAAAUCAAUUAGUCUAAUAACUUUCUUUGGACUGAUACCUCAAUUAAAUUCCAAUCCAAUCCGAUUCAAACAACUUUAGCUAAAAUACAAUUUUUAUUAUUGUAUUAAUGCAAAAAUUUUACCAUUUUUAAAGAUAUAAUUUUUCCUUUUUGAAAAGGUGGAUUUGAACUAAUAAUUUGUUGGCUUAAGCGUCUAAAAUCCCUCGUUUGAAAAAGCAAUUAAACCUUCUUCUUCUUUUUUCAUUCAUUUGGGUGCUUGAACUUUUAAAAUACAUCAAAAAGGUCCUUAAACCUUUUUUUAAAUAAAAAAAAGCAAUUAAGCCUCUACUUUUUUUUGCACACAAUUGGGUACUUUGACUUUCAAAAUGCAUCAAAAAGACCCUCAAAUUUUUUCAAAAAAAAAAAGUUAAGCCCCUGCUUUUUAUUAAAAAUUAGAAAAAAUUUAUAAAAAGUUAAAAUUAAUAAAAGCUAUAAAUCUUGUCGAAACCGAUUUUUUGAAAAAAACAAAAUUUUUAGGUUGUCGACUUAAAAAAAAGAAAAUUGGGAGUCGCCACCAAUCUUUUAUUGAGGUGUGAUUGGAUCACCUAAAACGACUUUGGUUUACGAAUUUUAGAAAAACGGGUUCGGAAGUCGGUUACGUAUGAGGAAGGAUUAGCACCCUCAUUACGCCCAAAAAUUGGUACCUCGUUAAUUAAUUAAUGUCUUAAGGUCAAAAAUUUUAAAAAUAUAAUCUUUAAAAACUUAAAACGUUGCAUAUUAAGACCCUUUUCAAUUCAGAGAAGCAAAAAUGCUACACCCAAUACGUUAGGGAACAACAUUCUAAUUUCCCCCAAAAUGAAUUAGGUCAGAAUAUUUAUACAAUAAAACUUUAAAAGAACAUCCACUCAUCCAAGAUUUAAGAAAUCACACCCAAUACGUUAGGGCACGAUUCCUUUAGAAUCCCAAACUCGGAAUAUUUCCUUUACUUUAAAAGAACAUCCACUUAUCCAAGAUUUAAGAAAUCACACCCAAUACGUUAGGGCACAAUUCCUUUAGAAUCUCAAACUCGGAAUAUUUCCUUCAUGAUUUUUUUUUAAAAAAAUCUUCAUUUCGAGAAAUCAAUGCGUCACAUCCAAUACGUUAGGACACAACGUGUUGAAUUCCCAAUAAUGAGUUUUUAUUUUUUUGAUUGAAGAGAAAUGCUCGAUUGUCGGAUUUAACAAAAAAAAUCAGAACCCAAUACGUUAGGGCUCAAUUCCCUUGAAAAUCCUAAAUACGAAUAUUAUCUCAAUUUAAAAAAAUUUCUAUCUUUAAAUUUGAGUAAAAAAAUGAUGUAACAUGAUUUUAUACAUACAAAUGCUAUAAUAAUAAUAACAAUAAUAAAUACAUCAUCGACAUAAAAAUAAUAUAAACAAAUGAAUAAACAAAAUAAUAAAAAAAGGUAAUCCAUGACAUGCAAAAUAUUAAAUGUAAACACAAUCAUACAAUGGAUGGGAUAGCAUUUACAAAUAUACAUAUAAUUUACAAAUAAAAUUUUGGGUUAUAGAAUUUAUAUAUAAAUACAAUACAUAAUAUACUUAUGCAAAUAAAGAAAAAAUAUAAUUAUACGUACAUAUAUAAAAUAAUAAAAAAUAGGUAUAUUUUAAAAAAAGAAAAAGUGAGUAUUUAAUCAUUAAAAAACGUAAAUAUAUACAUAUAAAUAUGAAAAUAUUCAUUAAAAAAUAUAGGAUAAUAUUCGUUUUAAAAAAUAUAUAUACAUGUACAUAUAAAAGGAAUAUACAUGGAUAAAAAAAUUAAAUAAUGAGUACAUUAUCAAAAUUAAUUUUUUUAAAAAAAUAAAUAUACAUAUAUAUACAUAUAUAAAUGUGAGAAAAAUAUAAGUUAAAAAUAUGUGCAUAAAAUAUACAUGUAUAGAUUUUUAAAAAAAUAAAAAUAAAAAAUGAUUAUGUUAUUAAUUAAUAAAAUAAAUGAAAAGAACAAAAAAGGAAAAGAAAAACUAAAUUGAAUUGCAAUAAAAAAAACUGGGGUAAAUCCGCAAAUAAAUAAAAGUAAAAGGAUUAAUUUGAACGCGUGAAUUACAUAGAGGGGCUAGAAGGGAAAUUUUCCCUUCUCCUCUAAAACGACGCCGUUCAACUUAGACCCAAUUGAAAUAAAAAUAAAUAAAAGGGUAAAUCAAGAAAAAUAAAAAAAACUUAAUUACAAAAACAUUAAAAGGCGGAAGGGCUAAAUAAAAUAAAUAAAAUUCGCAGUGGUAUCACCUUCUCCCUCUUUAAAUUCAUAAAUAAGUAAAAUAAUCGAAAAAAAAAUAUAGUAAGCCACCUUUAAAAAAUUGCCAAUCGUUCUCUUUUUUAUUCCUCUUCCUCCUUUUUUUACAUUACAUUCAGUGGCUUUAUAUAGCCAUUCUAAAAAAAUCAUAUAAAGAAGAAACAAAUCUCUUUUAUUUGAUUUGUGAAUCUUUGAUUUCAUUUCCUUUUUUGCUCUUGCUUGAUAUGCUUGAUUUGAUUUUGCAAUCCUUGAUUUUCUUUCCUUUCUUGUUUGUUUCCUUGUAGGUGAAGAUCGAUGACGCUCGUGACUGCGGCGCAAAGUCUUCUUAGAAACCCUAGGGUUUCUGCAAAUGAUUUGAGUCACUGAAUUUGGGCCAUUUUCGAAAUUGGGCCACCGUUUUAAAUUGGUUUUGGGCCUUAUGGCCUGUUUGUAAUUUUAGGCCUUUUACCCGGGCCAAAAUCGGGUAUUACAGCUGCCCCUCUUUGCUCGUUGUCGUGUAACAAGAACAGAGCAAAGACUCAACACAACCCAAGAAAUUAAGACCCAAUAGGUUGUAAAUGAAUGAUGAAAUCAAUAGUUUGAAAUGAUGUGUAUUUGUAGUUUUAAUUUCUAUAUUAAGAAUAUGCAUGUUAGACUUUUUUAUGAAAAAUGCAAUAGAAUUUAUAUUUAGGUAAAGAGUUACAAAGAAUUUGUUACUAAAGUAAAAAUUAGAACAGUUAGAGAUUAUCGAUUAGAUAGGGAAACAUAUGGAUUUGAUGAUUAUUUUAGUUUUUAUAUUUUCAAAUGAAUAAUUGGAUGUAUUAGUUGAGAUGUACUAAAUGAUUUAAAUACAAUUUAUAAAUUUUGCUAAAAAACUUUAUUUGAUCAUGUUUUUUUUUUCCUAUCAUGCAAAUGGUAUGAUGUCCAGAUUAUCUGGUCUUUGACUUCAUUUGUCAAUUAAUGAUUGUGGAUUGACAACAUUGACCAUUCUAUGCACGGGGACUACUCAUGAUCUACACAUUUUCUGCCAUUCUCACUACCCAUUGCCAUUCAUUCUCACUACCUAAAUACUCAACACAACCCAAGAAAUUAAGACCCUAUCAGAGGGAGAAUUUUAUAUCUACAACACUUCCUAAAUUUCAUUAAGUUAAUAAUAGCUAUUCAAUUUUUUUUUCAUUUUUUUUACUUAAAUUAUUUUUACUUACUUUAGCAUUUAAAUUAGAUAAAUUAUUCCAAAUAUUUAACAUUGUAACCAUGCUGCUGUACAUAUAGUAAUUGCAUUUGUAAUUCUACCUAACUCAUGAAAAAUCUCAAAUUCGCAACAUGUUAUUCACAUGCCAACCAAAUCUACAAUUUGCCUCCAAGUAAUUAACAAGCUGAUUUUGUAAACUGCUUUUGUCUGAUUUGAGUGAUGUUGGAAAAAAGGUCGCAAUCUUCUAUGAAAGCUUUAAACGCGUGGCAAUUUUCAUCUCUUAUUUUAUUUUGUGUGGUACUUGUAGAUCAGAGUGUUGAUUAUAUCACUGCCUGACACAACACGUACGUGGAGGACAACGAUUUGAGGGGAAAUAGAGAGAUUAUCUUACGAAUAGCAGAACCGGAUAUUGUCGUAUUUGAUUAUAAAAAGGUGUCGGGGCUUUUUUUAUAAAAUAACUUGAAAUUUUUAUUAAUUAUAAAAAUGAUAUUUUGUUUAUCAUGUACGUAAAUAAUAAAUAGUAAAAAUGAUUGGCGUGACCUUUUUAUCACGUUAGCUAAUCAUUAACUAUUAAAAUUAAAAAAUUACUUUUUUAAUGAACCUAUUUCGCGUCACAUGCGGUAGAAAAUCAUCUAAGAAAGGCAUGCACUAAUCAAUUGUUUUUAAGUACUAAUAUUUAGGGAUAAGGUAAUAUUUAAUUAUCUGAAUAUUUUAUAAUAGGGACGAAAUUAUAAAAAAGUUUAAAAGUUGAAGUUGAAUUAUGUAUUUUUAUAUAAGUUAAAAUACAAUUUAAUCAUAUUAGUUUGUAAUUUUACAUAUUUUAAAGAGAUUAGAUUAAAAUUUUAUCAUUUUGAAGGAUGAGAUGCAAUUUUAUUUUAUGUAUUAAGAUGUAGAAUUAUAAUCUUUAAAGGCACCCAAAACAUAAUUUUUUCCUAAAUCAAUUGAACAUAAAAAAUUACUCAAUAAUCUAUGGAAUUAAUUUUUUCUUGGCACUUAUAUGCAUAUGGUACAUGUAACAACAUUUCUAUUAAAGAAAAGCAACUUGAACCUGCACUAUAGGGAAGCAACAGAAAUUUAUUGUGACAAUCAAUUUGCUGUUACAAUCGCAUAGAAUCUAGUGUUCCAUGGGAGAACAAAACACUUCAAGAUUAAGUUCCAUUUUGUUAGGGAGAUGGAGCAAGCUCGAGAAGUAGAGCUGACUCAUUGCAAUUCUAAAGAACAAUUGGUAAACAUCUUGACAAAGCCCCUUAGUGUGUCAAAGUUCGAUAAAUUAAGGAAGCAAAUAGGAGUUUACAGCAUGGAAGACAAAGAGGAGUGUUGAAGUUGGCCUCCAAGCAGCUCAUGCAGCAAGGAGCAGCACAUCCAGUCUGAGCCAAGCUUGCAGCAGCUGAAGCACGAUGCUACUGUUAAGUUUCAUUUUCAUUUUGUUACUCUAAUGAUCAUUUUGUAAUCAAGUUAGAUUUGAACUUAGUAACUCCUUCUUAAUGUAAUUAGGUGUUGAUUGGCUGAAAAUUCAGCAAAGCAACAUGUACAAGUUAAUUUAGCAAGUUUCAAUGUAAUUUAGUGGUGUUAGGUAGUUGUUUAGGUGAAAUCUUGUUUGUAUUGACCAGUUUGUCUGGUAUAUGUAAUGGCUUAAUGCCUUUGUUCAUAGUAGUUAAUGAAAAUCAAUUAGUUUUCAUCCAUAUACUCUCCAUUUUUCUUUGCUUUCAAUUCGGUUAUGUUCUCAAGCAAAUUUCUGCUUUGUUUCUUCUCCAAGGCACGAGUCUUGCUGUUCAAGUCACAGCUGAACUAGCUUGCUUGUUGUUCAUAAAACCAAUAACCUGUUCUCGGCUGCGUUGAUAACAAUAUCAUCGAUGAACCUCCGGAUUGCAUUCAUGAACAUUGUGCCAUCACCCAAGCUUGUAAGCAAUUCAAGAACACGAAAAGGUAAUUGGUUUUCCAACAAGAGCAGAUACGAGUACAGAAAUGUCAGCAAAUCAUUUUUAGUUAACAAAUUACCAUCAUUAUCGUAACGCAUGUAAACUGCUUGUAAAAUUGCGCAACCGUCAACGAUGAACAUCCAAGCCAGUUCCUCGUUAUCGUCUCUAUACUUCUCUAAUUCCUGUGGAUCAUAGCAUUCCUUCAAGCCAUCCAUCUCUUUCUUAAUUUUGCUGUACAAGGAUUUCUUAUCGACGCCAAUUUUUUUGACGAAAUGUGCUGCUAAUUUGAGCUUGAGCCCCUUGGAUUCACGUAGGGUGAGAUCAUCGUGGUGGAGUGGGCCGAUUGAGAUCACUUUUGGCUUGAAAUACUUCUUGAAAUCUUCGUUACGGAGAAGGGUUGAUGGGACUUUUCGUAUUAAUGGUUUGUAUCUGAGGGUGGGUUGGCCGCCGCCGAAAGCUUUGUCUAAUGACUGGAGCUUCGCUACUUCGCCAUCGCUGAGAGGGACGUCCGUGAACCGCAUAUCAAUUCCCACGUAAUCGUUGUUGGUGUUGUUGUCGAUGAUUGUUUGAUCAGUGGAAACUGCUCCGGCGGCGCCGCCUCCUUCCUCACUGGACGACAUUUUCAGGCUGACCGGCUCGAAGUAAUUAACAAGGUGAUUUUGAAACCGGGUUUUGGCUGAUUGAGUGAUGUUGGAAAAAAGGUGGCAAAAUGGCUACGAUGAUGACAAAUGUUUCUAUAGCUUACAUAAAGAGGCGAAUAUAGGGGAAUGUAAAAUUGUUAUUUAGGCCCUUAACGUUUUUUUAAAAUUUCAAAUUAGUAAAGGUAAAAUUACAUUUUAGCCUCAUAAAAUUAUAAAAAUUUAAUUUAAUCUUUAAAAAUUAUAAAGAUAUAGACUACAAAAUAUUAAAAUUUCAUUCGAUCCACCCUAAAAAAAUAUUCUGGCUUCGCCCCUACUUACAUAAUAAACAUAUGGAAAAUACUAAUUCAAAUUUACCCCCUUAUAGUCAAUUUAAUUUUCAUUUUUUAAUUUAAUUUUUUAUGUUUUGGAAGAGUCGAAUUUAACGAUCAAUUUAAAUUAAUAUUUUUUAACGAAAAUAGUGACUAAAAUGUUAAAAUAUUAAACAUCACAACUCAUACGCAAUCCACAUCUAUAUUUUUUUAUUUAUUUCUUAUUUUUAAAUUAUUUAUUAACGUGACAUAUAAUAAAAGUCUUGUUAUAUUAGCAUGAAGUACAUAUGAAUUGCCACACGAGUUGUGACACCAAUAUUAUUAAAAAAUUAAUAUUUUAGUUAGCAUAUCUAUUAAAGAAAAGCAAAUUACCUCUUUUUUGAAAGGUUAAUAGCUAAAUUUAGCUCAAAUGAAAAAUAAAUAAAGGCCAAUUUGAUAAAAAAAGGUAUAUGUCAAGAGUUAAGUUUAUCAUUUAUACAAAUACAAAUAUAUGUCUGGAUUAAUCUAGAAAGAACAAGACAAACUCUACACGUGAUAUACAAAUGUGAUGAGAGUGAAACCUACACAUCACAAUUGAGAAUAAUAUUAUAGAACCUAAAUACUCAAAAACCUAAAACCUUCCCCUUAACCAAGAAGCUAAGACGCUAUGGAUAAUUUUAUAUCUACAACACUUAAUCAAUUUCAUAUGCAAAGAACACUUACUUUGGUUGAUGUAUGGUAUAAUAAGUCUGCAAAGCACUAAGAGUAAGUGCAGCAAUGGCACCCAAAAAUGCCAAAAACGUCCAAGGACUCCUAAAAUAAGUAUGAUAACCUUGAGCUGCAUGAUUAAUCCACAUAGUCUUACAAUGAUUAUGUAUUUUCUCUUUAACCCCACUGUAAAUUGUCGGACUAGGAACCAAAUCAGUGUUCAUCUUAUUGAAAAGCUUAGCCAUUUCUUCAUCACUGCCCAAUCCAUUGUAUAGUAUGCCGGAGUCUCUAAGGUCUUUGACAUCUUCAGCUUCAUCGAUCAAUAAAUCAAGGAAACACAUAUAUGAAGUGACGGUGAAAUCGUUGUCGAAAUCCGGACACAUUUCGUAAGCUAUUAAGUUCAUGGUUGAAUCAUCGACGGAGAUCGGCGGUAACCGUAAUUUUCCGAAGAAGAAGAUAUGGUUGAAACUGAUGUCGGUUAAAUUACUUGUGUCGCUGGCUUCAAACCAUAUCCCGGCCUUUUUAAGCUCUUUUACGUUACCAAUGGUGCGUGAAUGGUACCGUUUUGUUGUUUUUGUUCUUGCUGCUGAUUUGCCAAAUCCGUGUCGAUUGAAUUCCCAAAGAAAACACCAGCACCGUAUUCGUACUUUUCUGAGAAGGAGUCUUUCUCGUAGUAGAUGUAAUAAGUGAAUUCGCUCUCCUUCUUUUUGCUGCUUCCACCACCAUUCCCUACACCAAAAUCUGUGUUAGUCGGAAGCCAAGCUACAAUUUCUCUUUUCUCUUUUCUUUUUUUCUUUUUUGUUGUUGGAUUUGGAAUUGUUAAUUUAUAUGAAGCUAAAAUUAAGAUUUUCAAAAUAAAUAAUCCAACGAUUAAGUUAUUCAAUUUACUUAAUUUAAUUGAAUAAAUUAUUAAAAACUUCGAUUCGAUAAUACGGUUUAAUUAAAUUUUUUUACCCUGUUUAUAUAAAGUUUUAAAUCGGUUAAUCUACUCCGAAUUGAUAAUUCAAUUAAUUUUCAAUCCAAACCAAUUCAAACAAUAUUAACUAAAAUACAAUUUUUAUUGUUGUAUUAAUGCAAAAAUCUUACCAGUUUUAAAACAUUAAACUUUUCCAUUCUGAAAAGUUGGAUUUGAAAUCAUAAUUUUUAAUUUCUAAAAAUGAACACUCAAGGAUAAAUGUAAAACGACAGGCAGGGGUCGUUCCCAAGAAAUGAAAAUUUACACUUUAAUCUCUUUUAAAUUUAUUAAAUUAUAAUAAGUCCUCAAAUUAAAAAAUAAUAAUUGUUCAAUUUUUUUAAAAAAAUAAAAUCAUAAAUUAAUACAAAAAAAUUAAAAAUCAAUCAGGUUGAAUAAAAAAUUAAAUAAAAUUGAAGUUACACCAAUUGAAUUAAAGAAUCAAAUAAAUUUCUUUUUAUAUUUUUAAUAUUUUUAAAAAAUUAUAUAAUUAAAUUGAAUAAACUAAUCAACCAGAAAUGAGAGUUUAAUAGAUUCCAUCACUCAUCUAGUUAUAAAAACCUUUUAACAUUUAUUUAAUUCCCUAAAUUACCUGUCCUCGCCUGGGAUGAUAACAGUUUCGUCGAUGAACCUUUGGAUUGCAUUCAUGAACUUUUCGCCAUUUUUUCUCGGCCUUGUAAGCAAUUCAAGAACACGAAAAGGUAAUUGGUUUUCCAACAAGAACAGAUCCGAGUACACAAAUGUCAGCAAAUCGUCUUUAAUAAACAAUUUACCAUCAUUAUCAUCACCAUUAUCAUCAUCACCGUAACGCCUGUAAACUGCUUGUAAAAUUGCGCAGCCGUCAACGAAGAACAUCCAAGCCAGUUUCUCGUUAUCGUUGCUAUACUUCUCUAAUCCCUUUGGAUCAUAGCAUUUCUUUAAGUCAUCAAUCUCUUUCUUCAUGUUGUUGUACAACGUAUCCUUAUCGACGCCAAUUUUUUUGACGAAAAGUGCUGCUAAUUUGAGCUUGAGCUUCUCGGAUUUCCGGAGGGUGGGAUCAUCGUGGUGGAGUGGGCCGAUUGAGAUCACUUUCGGCUUGAAAUACUUCCUGAAAUCUUGGUGACGACCAAGGGUUGAUGGGACUCUUUGUAUCAAUGGUUUGGCACCGAGGUUGAUUUCGUCGCCGUCGAAAGCUUCGUCUAAUAACCGGAGAUUCGCUACUUCUCCAUCUCUAAGAGGGACGUCCAUAUCAAUGCUCACGGAAUCGUUGUUGUCGGUGAUUGCUUGAUCAGUGGAAACUGCUCCGACGGCGCCGCCUCCUUCCUCCGUGGAGAACAUUUUCAGGCUGAGUGGUUGGUAGUAAUAAACAAGGUGAUUUUGUAAACUGCUUUUGGCUGAGUGAGUGAUGUUGGAGAAAAGGUGGCAAAGUGGAUACGAUGAUGGGAAAUAUUUUAUAGCUUACACGAUACACAUAUAUAUAUGGGAAAUACUUAAGGUGUAAUUCAAAUUUACCCUGUUUAUAUUUUUACUAAUAUAAUUUUAAUUUUUUAAUUAAAUUUAAUUCUCUUUUGAAAGAGUCAAUGAUAAAAAAGAAAUUAGGAAAUUAGGAAAAUGUGUAUAUAGAUGUACAUAUAUAAAAAAAUUGCAAAAAUAUAUUUACAAUAAUUUUGAAGGGCGUACGUGUAUAUCAAUAUCUAUUUAUGUAUAUAUAUAUAUAUAUUAUAAAAUAUAAAAAAUAUAUAAAUAUAAUAGAAAUAUAAAUGUAUAUACGUAUAUAUGUAUAUAAAAGCUAAAAAAUAAAUAAUAACAAUAUAUAUAAAAAUAUGUAUAUGUAUUAGAGAAAUAUUUAAUAUAUAUAUAUCUAUUAGCAUACAUAUGCUUAUAUAUGUAAGUAUAAUUAUAAUACUAUAUAAUAUAAUAAUAAUAAUAAUAAUAAUAACAAAAACUAAAAAAUAAACUACAACAAAAAAACCUUAAAAAGGACCAUUAAGGAUUAAACUGAGAGCUAAACGAAGUUAAAAGGCCAAAUUUAAAAAUAGAAAACACCAGGAAGGACCAAAUUGAUACGCGCGCCAUGAGAGGAGGACUUAAAAAGUAAUUUUCCCAAGUCACUCAAGCACUGCGCAGUGAUAUGGAUUAAAUCGUCACGCAAGCGAAAUAUUUGGGCUGAACUUAAAAGAAAAAAACUUGAUUAAACACAUCGCAAAAUGGGGAGGGCUAGAUGCGCAAUUUCCCCACUCAGGGCCAGAACGCGCGGAUCCCCCCUCCGAGUCGGGUCGACACGCUGGUCAUGGCACCCUAAACGGCGCCGUUUCGUCUUGUUUUAAAAACUCCUAAAUCUGACUUUCUUUGAUUUGAAACUGGAAAGAAAAAAAAAACCCUAGGGGUUUUGUUUUCUCCCCCGCGCCGCUUCCAAUCGAUCCGGCCGAUUCGAAUCUCGGCCCCAAAUCUGGCUCCGAUUAAGACGAAGCAGACAUGGUUUUCAAUGGCACAACCACGUAGGUAAUAUUCCUUUUUUUAUUUUUUUUGUUUAACACACAAAAAUCGGUAAAUAAAUUAAGCAAACAAAGAAGAGAAAACAAAACUAAGAAGAACGUCACCUCUUUUAUUUCACUCUUUUUUCGAUUUUCAGUAUUCCCCCCCCCCCCACUAUUUACAUAUUGAAGUUGGCCUUUUAUAGCCGAAAUGGAAAUGAAAACAUGAACAAAAUCAAAAAGAAAAAUUGUUGCCCGAUUUUUGCUAUUUUGUUUUGUUCUCUUUGUUGUGUUUUUGUUGCUGUAGGUAAUGCGUGCGGGGAAGGCGCGAGAUUCGCGGCGACGAGGAGCGCGAUGUGUGGGCGCGACGCACGGGAGUAGUUGCAGCACCAGUUACUGCGGCGCUGAAGCAGAAGCUUAUUUAAGGUUUGUGCAAUUUUGAUGUUUUUUGGGCUAGGGUCUGAAAAUUAGUUGUUGGGCGGCCUGUUAAUGGUUUGGGCCCGGGCAUUAUUGGGUUUUUAUAGCUGCCCCUCUUUGCUCAUUGUCGUGUAACGGAAAUAGAGCAAAGACUAAAAGCCCAAUUGUGCUCGGUCUUACUGAGCCUCGACUUCUUCAAUACUUUUCCUUCAAGUAGCCUCAUUCCCUCCUACUGCAUCUUCAGAGGUAUAGGAACUAGUGCUUCAAUCUACUCCGCUACAAUGUCAGAGAGAUAGAAUUCAUACUUUGUAGCUUCUCAAAAGAACAAAAGUUGUCAUCUUUUAUCUGUUUCACUGCAACUUCAGGGAGAUAAGACUUAUAGCUUCACCUUGUUCUGCUACUCCAUUGCAACUUCAAGGAGAUAGGAUUGGUUUUUUUUUCUGUCUGCUCCACUGCAACUUUAGGGAGAUAAGACUGAAUAUGAUCUACUCUCUGCAACUUCAGAGAGAUAAGAUCUGCUGUAUUUGAUCUACUUCACGCCAAUACAUGAAGACAAAAUCUAUUUUUUUUGACCUACUUCGCCACCUGUAUGGGAAGACAAGAUCUACCAUCUUUGACCUGCUUCACGCCAAUACAUGAAGACAAUAUCUGCUUUCUUCGGUCUACUUCGCCACCUGUAUGGGAAGACAAGAUCUGUUUUCCUCAAUCUACUUCAUGCCAAUACAUGAAGAUAAGAUCUGUUUUCUUUGACCUACUUCGCCACCUGUAUGGGAAGACAAGAUCUACCAUCUUUGACCUACUUCACGCCAAUACAUGAAGACAAGAUUUGCUUUCUUCCAACCUGCUCCACUAUUGUUCAGGGAGAUAAGGCCUUAUGAUUUCAUUGAUCUGCUCUCUGUGGAACAUGACCUGUAUGAUUCAUUUUAUGAGCCUAAUUAUGCCUAAUGAUUAGGAUGUCAUGAUCAGAAUGAAUCAAAUGCUCCUAACUAGACAUGUAUGAAUGACAUUUGAAUGAGUGCAGAAUGUCAUGAGAAUGAUAUUUUAACGCUUGAGUUAUUAUUACUCCAAGUUUAUUAACGUUAUCGCCAAUAUGCUCUAGCGCCUUAUUGCUCGGCUGGCGUCUCUAAAAAAAACUUGACCAGAUUGCCCCCACUAUAAACCUUCAAGUUUGAUCAACUGGGAUGCAAAAUUUGUACCAUUUUUCUCCUGUUGUAACCUAAGAGUAAAAGAUUUGACUUUUUCUCGAUCCUCUGUUAUCACAAUUCAAAGAUACAUGAUGUGAAACUUUUUGGUCUAUUACAUCAUUCUGAGGGUGUUGUACCAAAUGCUCAUGCACAAAUGAAGAAAUUUCUUCUCUAAGAAUAACUUCUUCUUAUUAUUCGGUGAUUACUUGAGUGACCUCAUUGAAGCUUUGUCACCAACACGACAUCUUCCCAUUUUGUUCAAUCAAUACUUCAGACAAGAAAAUUCAAAGGGAUAAUAUUAAUUUAGACUCUUCUUUAUCAAGUUUCCAACCUUUGAACCUGGUGCCUUCUAAAUAAUAGUCAUGUUUGAGGUUCCUAUAUUAUUUAAAAGCUUCUAGAGUAAUAAGCAAAACUUCCUUUGUGAAAUUUUUACUAGUCCAUUCAUCAUUAUUCUAAUGCAACAUGAUUGCAAAAGGAUCAUAAUAAUGGAUAAGAAUAGAGUUGGUCCUGAGCAUAGCUCGAAAUGAAUAAAUUAUCAAAAAUAAAGAUGGAUAGCAAAGAAAUUGAUUUAGGAAUGCGUAUCUUGGAAAUGAAGGAAGUGUUCCAAGAAUAACAAAAAUAGUAUAAGGAUGAGGUGCCCCAGAUAUCGCAGCUUGAACUUCUCUGUACAAACUUUUUGAAGACCAUUCUGAGUUUAACAUGUGUUUAGGAAAUCUAUAGUACUUUGUCGAUGCCCCCAAGAUGUCGCCUACCCCUUCCUGUUGAUUCAGGUAUAGCAAGACCACUGCAUGCCCCACUCUAAUCAGUAUUUGAGCUACUCUGAUAGCUUCUAGUGUCAUUUUGAUCAAUAUUCGAGCUACCCUUUUCGGGUUUUUAACUCAAAUCCCCUUUAGUUUAAGGUGCCCUUUGCGGGUUUUCACCUUAGCCUCUCCAUUUUAUUUUUUUCAUUCUUCAUUUUAUCAUUUUUUUUACGACUCAAAGUGCCCUUUGCGGGUUUUUACAUUGGUCAUCUCCUUCUUUAAGUAGAUUAUUUCCUGACUGAACUUGAGUUUACAGGACUUUGGAGGUUUAUCAUUUCACUCAAAAUCAAAACUCCUUUGGAAAAGACCUUCUUUAUAACAUAAGGUUCUUACCAAUUUGGCAUCCGUUAUUUUUUUUGUAGGGUGAGGAUCUUCUUCAGCAUUAGGCCACCAUCGUGGAAUUCUCUGGGACAAACCUUUUGCUAUUGGCUCGCAUCGUUCAUUUCUUGGUACAUCUGACCAUGAUGAAUAGUUUCUAGCCUUUUUCUUCAAUUAGGUUCGACCAAACGUAUCGGGAUUGGAUCUUCAUCCUACUUCAGCUCAGUCAAAAUCCAAAGAGAAAGAAUUUCAACUUCAAUGAAAAAAAUCGUGAAAAACUGAAAAGAGUGGCAUUGCCCCGAUUGAGUUUUCUCUGCACCAUUCAUGAUAUUCACCUUGAACAUACCGCAAAUUUAUGAUAUUGUGCUAUUGUUCAGAUUACAAUGACAGUGCUUAAAUUGGGCACAUCCUCGUAUGACCAUGCGAAGACAUCUUUGAACUCUUGAAGUAACUCAAUAACAUCUUGCUUUGUUUCUUCGGUCAUGCAUGUUCCCUCAAGGUCACAUUCUCCAUUGUCCCCUUAUGAGGUAAAUUUGUUUCUCUUAUUACUUUACCACCCUCAACAAGUCAGGAGAUAUGCUACAAUCUAUGACAUCUUCAAAGUCAUGAGAUCCCUCUAAACACAUGUCUCCCUUAACAAGAGAUUCAGAGUCCGUAGCAGUGCCAAUCAUGUCAUUGAUAUCCAGAGACCUAUUAUAAGUGCCAAAGAAUGUACAUAAUAUGAAUGAAUAAAAGAAUGGUUUGGCAGAAAAAUCUAAAAGAAUGAACGAAUCGUAAAGAAUGAAAGAACAUUUGCUCAAAAAUGAUUGCAAUAAUGUAUUUCAUUAAAAUAAUCAUGUUCGGACAUGAGCCAAUUUCACAAAGACGUUCUUAUUUCUUUUAGGCUAAAAGCAACAAGGGUGUUCUGAAUAUUACUCUAAUAGACCCUAAAUACUGUAGGGGUUUCCUCUGCAGUCCCAUUAUUUAUAACACCUCUCAGGCGAAUAUCUAACCAGAACCCUUUUAAUUGCGUCUGCACACAUGGCAUCGAUGUGCAAAUUUCUUACCACUUCUCUAUGCAUUGCAUUCCCUCCAUUAUCAAUCAUGAUUGGGUAAUGGAUUUUCUGCACUUGAUGAGUCACCAAACUUGACAACACCCAUGUCGAUGAGUCUUGCAACUUGCUUCUUGAAGGAAGUGCAAUUCUCAAUCGAGUGUCCCGUAAUUCCCGCAUGGUAUUCACAUUGUGUGUUCGCAUCAUACCAUUUGGGAUACAGAGGUUGUAGAGGCUUCACAGGAAAAGGAGAAACAACACGGGCAUCAAACAAAUUUUGAUACAGUUCCCUAUACGGUAUUGGGAUUGGUGUAAACUGGAACUUCUUAGUCUUUAUACCAGAAUCCUGCCUUGAUGAAUUUUUUUGAUUAGUAACCACCUUUCUUGGCUGACUCAUAGUAACUGAUUUAAAGUAACCCGUGUUGUUCACCUCAUUUUCUCUUCUCCUUGAGGCUGACCUCCUGUUACUCUCCUCUGCAUCGAUUUUUUCGCUCCUUAUAGCAUUUUUUAUCAUUUCACCGUUCAUAACUAUGUCAGAAAAGCUUUUUGUAGCACUUCCUAACAUAUGUGUGAUGAAUGGAACUUUUAAUGUAUUUAUAAAGAGCAUUGUCACUUCUCUUUCCAAGAGCAGUGGCUGAACUUGGACGGCAACUUUCCUCCAUCUCUGUGUGUACUGCCUAAAGCUUUCACUCAGCUUCUUCUCCAUGUUUUGAAGGGUGAUUCUAUUAAGAGUCAUGUUUUUCACAUGACUAUAUUGUUUCAUGAACGACUGUGCCAAAUCCCUCCAUGAACCAAUCGUGGUACAACUCAGUUGAUUGUACCACUUGGAUGCUGCCCCUACUAGGCUAUCCUGGAAACAGUGUACCAAAAGCUGGUCAUUGCUAACAUAUCCGACCAUGCGCCUGCAGAACAUGGUGAUAUGAGCUUCUAGGCAACUUGUCCCAUUGUACUUCUCAAAUUCUGGCAUCUUAAACUUGUGAGGAAAUACUAAAUCUGGGACCAAACUCAACUCUUUGGCGUCGAUUCCCCGAUAAUUUUCAGUGACCUCCAUCGCCUUGAACUUCUCCUCAAGCCAUUUGCACCUUUCUUCUAACUGUUUUGGUAACUCCUCCUUUAUUCUUUCCCUCUCGGCACUUCAUCAAAGUCAGAAUGACAGAGUUAAUAGGGUUGUUGCCGAGGUUAAAGCCCGAUCCGACUUGAAAGUUUGAAGCACUGGCUUGGAAUUGCUGAGGCCUGAUUGUAACAGUAGGUUUGUGCGAAUAUUCAGCUUGAGUUCGGGAAUAUAGUGGAGUAAAGCCUGGAGGAUGGAUAGUUUCAUCCUCAUUACCCUCUUCGAUAUCGGUCAUGGGACCCUUUCCCUUAUCACCUCCUUCAGUCAACAGUUGGGUUAGUUUUGCCAUCAUACUGUCCUGGGAUUUUUGUAUCUUUUCUGACAUAUCCUAUUGCAUCUUGUCCAACCGCUCUUGAAUUUUUAGCUGAAGUCUGUCUUCCAUCUCCUUCUGGUACUGUUCGAGCUUUUCCAAUCUCUGUCCAUAUCUUUAACGUUUGCUCGAGUGUCGUAACGGUGUUUGGUUGGUUGGUUGGUUUCCAGGUUAACUGAGCAAUGAUUUUAUCAAUUAGGCUGUUUUAGUGGAUUUUAAUGCAUACGAUGUCAUGUAAUGCAAAUGCAUGAAAUGAAGGCCUAAAGAGAUGUUAACUUUGAUUCUAUUACAUUUAAAAAACUUUACUAGAAGACAAAUUUCUUUACAUAAAACAGAUAUAUAUAUAUAUACGGCUUUGCCCUCAUAUUCCAGUCGAAGACAUCUUCUCCUUCAUCUGGAUGCUAGGAUAAACCUUGCGAAUUCUUCAAAAUGGACGUCUCUUCUAUCUCUUUUUGCUUGAUCCUGGUUGAUAUCCAUCAUCUACCCAUCUUUGUAAUGCUCCUCGGCUUCUUUUAGAUUGUCGAAAACUCUUGAAUAAUCAGCUUGAAUCCUCAGGCCAUAGAGUAAAGUCACGAACUCUUCUGUCGCUCUUCUUGUGUUUCUCAGAAUAUAUUCAGGCAACCGUAUUAUUUUCCAUUUUAUUAAGAAAUCCGUAUUCCAUUACAAGCUUUCUAAGUUAGUAAUCGAAUGUGAGUCAACACCUCUUUUCUAUAAUGAAAUGCUAUGAAGUCAAAAAAUGUCAUGCAGUCAAAACAAAACACAACAAGUUAGCAUCAGGUAUAAACAUUAAAUCCAAUACAAUCAAGAAAUAACAAAAACUCCUAGUCAGGUAUCUACUAAGGUUUAGAGUACUUCUACGUAGGGUAAGUUCCUAAAGCUCACUAUAUAAGGUUUAGUUUCUAGAGUAAGGGUACCCGAACCAGCAGAUUCCUCGAUCCUCAACCAUUAUAGGCUCAUGUGGAUCGAGUCCAGUUCAGGGGGAUACAUUUCCCUAUGGCUGCACGGAGAUGAAAUCUCACGAAGACAUAGGUACGGAUGUAUCCCGGAAGCGGUCCAUUACCCUGCACGGAGGUGAAAACCUCACAAAUGACUAGUUUCUCGCUCAAACUUAAGGGGUAAAAUGCAAAAUGCAAAUGCAAUGUUGCCAACAUACCAUGAUGAAAAAAAUCAAUAAGUACGAAGGGAACUCAUGAAUUUUAAAAACUUUUGAUUUUUGACACAAAGACAAAUAUAAUCAGUUUAUGGCUAGACUCUCUAACGUCCCCAGUGGAGUCGUCAAGCUGUCGAAACCGUCUUCUUGAAAACAAAAAUUUAGUUGUCGACUUUAAAAAGAAAACUGGAGUCGCCACCGAUCCUUUAUUAAGGUGUGAGCGGCCCACCUUAAAAAUUAUUUUGGUCUACAAGCUUUAAGAAAACAAGUUCGGGAGUCAGUUAUGCACGAGGAAGGGUUAGCACCCUCGUAACGCCCAAAAUCGGUACCAAAUCGAUUAUUUAAUGUCUUAGUGUCGUGGACUAGAAAGAAGUUAAAAAAAAACCAAAUGAUGAAAUCAGAAAAGGAUAAUCAAUUGUUCAAGACAUGUAAAGAAAUCGAUUCCCAAUACGUUAGGGUACAAUUUCUCAAAAUUCCCGAACUUUGAAUAUCACUUUUAUUUUAUGCGAAAAUAUUCAUUUUGAGAAAGUAACAUGCCACACCCAAUACGUUAGGACACGACAAGUUAAGUUCCAAAAAAUUAUUUUUAUACUCAUGCAUUUUGAAUAAAAAAUAUUCUCGAUUAUUUAAAAUUAACAAAGAAAAUCGGAACCCAAUACGUUAGGGCUCAAUUUUCUCAGAAUUCCAAAUACCGAAUUGUGCCUUUUAUUCGAAAAUUCUUACGAGAAGUCAAAAUAUCAUGACCAGUAAGUUAGGACCUGACAUUUUUGGAUUCCCGAGAACAAGCUUUUAUUUGAAAUUUGCAUGAAUUUAUUUCAAAAUGAAUACCUGGUUUUCUAAAUUCACCAAGAAAUAAUCGCAAUCCAGUAAGUUAGGAUACGGUUUUUCUCGAGAAUCAUGAAUGCCAGAUAUUUUGGAAUUUUAUAAAAUAUGAUGAUUUUAAUGCUUUGACAGAACCAAAAUAUAUUUUCUUUAAAAAGUGUAGAAAAAUGCUAAUGUAUCACAUAAAAUCAAUAUUUUAAUUUUAAAUUAUAUGCAAAUAUGUAUUUUCAAAAUAUAAGUAUGAUACAUAAAUAAAUUUUGAAAACAUGUAUAUACACAUAUUAAAACAAGUAUAUAUAAGUAUACAUAUAUAAAAUAAAAUAAUGAAUGAUAUAUGUAUAUCAAAAUAAAAAUUAUUAAAAUUUCUAAAAAAAAAUCAUGUAUGUAUAUACGUAAUGAAAAUUGUAAAAAUAAAAAUAAAAAAUAUGCAAAUGCGUAUAUAUUUACAAAAAAAAAAAUAUAAGUAUACAUGCUUUAGUAAAACAGAAAUAAUAAUAGUAUAUGAAGAAAUUAGGAAAAUGUGUAUAUAGAUGUAUAUAUAUAUAAAAAAAUUGUAAAAGUAUAUUUACAAUAAUUUUGAAGGGCGUACGUGUAUGUCAAUAUCUAUUUAUGCAUAUAUAUAUAUAUAUAUAUUAUAAAAAAUGAAAAAAUAUAUAAAUAUAAUAGAAAUAUAAAUGUAUAUACGUAUAUAUGUACAUAAAAGCUAAAAAAGAAAUAAUAACAAUAUAUAUAUAUAAAUAUGUAUAUGUAUUAGAGAAAUAUUUAAUAUAUAUAUAUCUAUUAGCAUACAUAUGCGUAUAUAUGUAAGUAUAAUUAUAAUACUAUAUAAUAUAAUAAUAAUAAUAGAAAUAAUAAUAAUAAUAACAAAAACUAAAAAAUAAACUACAAUAAGAACCUUAAAAAGGACCAUUAAGGAUUAAACUGAGAGCUAAACGAAGUUAAAAGGCCAAAUUUAAAAAUAGAAAACACCAGGAAGGACCAAAUUAAUACGCACGCCAUGAGAGGAGGACUUAAAAAGAAAUUUUCCCAAGUCACUCAAGCACUGCGCAGUGAUAUGGAUUAAAUCAUCAUGCGAGCGAAAUAUUUGGGCCGAAUUUAAAAGAAAAAAACUUGAUUAAACACAUCGCAAAAUGGGGAGGGCUAGAUGCGAAAUUUCCCCACUCAGGGCCAGAACGCGCGGAUCCCCCCUCCGGGUCGGGUCGACGCGCGGGUCAUGGCACCCUAAACGGCGCCGUUUCGUCUUGUUUUAAAAACUCCUAAAUCUGACUUUCUUUGAUUUGAAACUGGAAAGAAAAAAAAAACCCUAGGGGUUUUGUUUUCUCCCCCGAGCCGCUUCCAGUCGAUCCGGCCGAUCCGAAUCUCGGCCCCAAAUCCGGCUCCGAUUAAGACGAAGCAGACAUGGUUUUCAAUGGCGCAACCACGUAGGUAAUAUUCCUUUUUUUUAUUUUUUUUUGUUUAACACACAAAAAUCGGUAAAUAAAUUAAGCAAACAAAGAAGAGAAAACAAAACUAAGAAGAACGUUACCUCUUUUAUUUCACUCUUUUUUCGAUUUUCAGUAUUCCCCCCCCCCCCUAUUUACAUAUUGAAGUUGGCCUUUUAUAGCCAAAAUGGAAAUGAAAAGUUCUCUUUGUUGUGUUUUUGUUGCUGCAGGUAAUGCGUGCGGGGAAGGCGCGAGAUUCGUGGCGACGAGGAGCGCGAUGUGCGGGCGCGACGCGCGGGAGUAGUUGCAGCACCAGUUACUGCGGCGCUGAAGCAGAAGCUUGUUUAGGGUUUCUGCAAUUUUGAUGUUUUUUGGGCUAGGGUCUGAAAAUUAGUUGUUGAGCCUGUUAAUGGUUUGGGCCCGGGCAUUAUUGGGUUUUUACAAUUCCUCAAUUAUUUGGAUUAGAUUUAGAUUGAAAAACAAUCGACACUUGAUUUGAUUGUUUAAAUUUAUAAUAUUUAACUUGAGUGUGAAUGAAUUUUUUACUUAAUUAAAAUUUUAAAAUAGUAAGCUCGAGUCUUUUUUUUAAUUAUGUUUAUAUCAUGUAUAAAUUUUGUUCAAAUUUAUUUUGAUUUAAUUCUCAUACUAUAUAUUCUUAAUUAAAUUCGGAAUAUAUUCUGUUUAUCAAUUUAAUUAUACAUCGUAACAAUGGAUUUGGAUUAUAGUUAAUUAUAUAUUGAAACUAAAUAAUUAGUUUAAGGAAUUAAAAGAGAGAUUAUUAUAUUUUAUAAAAUUUGAAUAGAUUAAUAAUUAAUUCGAGAUUAAAAAAUUGUCUAUCUUUAUUUCCCCCGAGUUUAAUUUAUUAUUUUCCCUAAUUUUAAAUCCAAAUAAUUAGGAGAAGAAAAAGCUAAAACCAAACCUUUUUUACGGUUUGAACUAAACCCCAUGCGGUCUGGAAAAUUGCAAGUUUCCAGAAUACCUACUCUUACUAAUUAUAAGAAAAUUUAUAAACUGCUUUCCAUUUUAGAGGACGAAGGCCUUGCCUACCCCUCCUUCGUAAUUUUUUCUUUUGUCUAAAUUAAUCUUGAAAUUUGAUAGGUUUUUUUUGUUCUUUUAGUCAUUUAACAUUGGUUAAUGGUACAUCAUUACUUGGAUUUGUUUUAAAUAAAUUCUUUCUAUCCUUUUUAGAUUUUAUGUAAGUUGUUUGAAAUUUCCAAAUAAUGACAUGAUUGUUUAAUAUAAUUCAAGUUCAAGAACUAGAUUAAAAAAACUGUUAAGUUCAAUUCAAAGACUAAAAUAUUAAUUUAUCCCUAAUAUUCGUUACCCUGUUUUAAAAUUUCAUUGAAUUUCUUGCCCGCCUACUUUUGUUAUUGACCGUUGCUUUGUUCUUCGUUUUUUAAUUUGAAGUCCCAUAAUUGAAAAAAAAAAUUGGAUGAGAAAUAUCUAAAAUCAUUAGAAUCAUGAAAAAUAUAAUCUCAAAUCCAACGAAUUACCCAUAUCAAGUUACAGAGACUUAGGCCUGGCUAUGGUGAAUUCAUCCCCUACAUUUUAGCAGUCCCAGGUAAACAACACUUACUUUGGUUGGUGUAUGGUAUAAUGAGUCUGCAAAGAAGACACAAAAAAUGCAGCAAUGGCACCCACAAGUGCGAAAAACGUCCAACGAGUCCUAAAACAAGUAUGAUAAGCUUGAGCUGGAUAUUGAAUCCACAUAUUCUUACAAUGAUUAACCUCACUGUAAGUCGUCUGACUACGAACCACAUCAGUGUUCAUCUUCUUGAUAAGCUUAGCCACUUCUUCAUCACUCCCCAAUCUAUUGUAUAGUAUGCCAGCGCCUCUCAGUUCCUUAACAUCUUCGGCUUCAUGGAUCAAUGAAUCAAGGAAAUCCAUAUAUGAAGUCACGGUGAAAUCGUUUUUGAAAUCCGCACAUUUCGUAAGCUAUUAAGUUCAUGGUUGAAUCAUCGAAGGUGAUCGGCGGUAACCGUAAUUUGCCGACGAAGAAGAUAUGGUUGAAACUGAUGUCGGAUAAACAACUUGUUUUGCUUGCUUUGAAACAUAUACCGGCCUUUUUAAGCUCUUUUACAUUACGAAAGGUGUGUGAAUGGUGCGGUUUUGUUCUUGUUUGGCUGCUGCGAUUUAACGUGCACAUGAAAAAUCGAGUGCAAAACCUAAAAUACCGCCAUGGUUUUUCCUUUUUUCUUUUUCGAAAAGGAGUCUUACUCGUAGUAGAUUCAAUAGGUGAAUUCGCUCUCCUUUUUGCUGCUGCCACCAUUCACUAGAGCAAAAUCUGUGUUAGUCGGGAGCCAAGCUAUAUAUAUAUAGGAUUUGGAAUUGUAAAUUUUUAUCAUAACUAAAGUUAAAAGAUUUCAAAAUCGAUAGUCCAACCGGAUAAGUUUAAUUGGUACAAUCAAUUCAUCUAAUUUGAUUAAAUAAAUCAUUAAAAAUAUUAGUUCAAUUACUUGAUUUAAUUAAUUCUUUUUCCAGGUUCGACAUGUUUAUAUAGGUUCUCAAAUCAAAUAGUCUAAUGAUUUUAUUCAAAUUGAUACUUCAAUUUAUUUCCAAUCUAAUCCUAUUUAAACAACAUCAACUAAAAUAUAAUUUGUAUUAUUGUAUUAAUGCAAAAAUUUUACCAUUUUUAAAGAUGUUAAACUAUCAAUUUUCCAUUUUAAAAAGUUGGAUCGGAAACAUAAUUAUUUUCUAAAAAAAAAUGUACACUCAACAGCAACAAUACAAAAGGGACGAGUGGAUUUGAAAAAUGAAAUAUUACAUUUUAUUCGCUUUAAAAAUUAUAAAUUAUAAAAUUAUAUAAUAAUAAAGUUACGCUUUUUAACUCUUCAAAAUUAAAAAUAUUUAAUCCUUUUAGAAAAUGAUGAAAUCACACAUGAAAAAUUUAAGAAUUAAACCAUACUUGUCGGUCGAGUUGGUUGAAUAGAAAAUUGAGUAAGAUAUUGGUCUAGAAUAAGAGAUUAGACCAAUUGAAUCGAGUGAUAAAUUGAUUUUUUUAUAUUUUUAAUAUUUUCAAAAUUUUAUAUAAUUCAACUGGAAUGAACUAAUAAACCAGAAAUGAGAGUCUAAUCGAUUCAAUGACCCAUUUAAUAACAUUUAUAAACUCCACAAAAUGAUUCUGUUCUAAAUUCCUUGAAUUACCUGUCCUGCUGAUGUGAUUGUGGCUCUUUCAUGUAAGCUGGGGUGAUAACAGUGUCGUCGAUGUAUCUUUUGAUCGCCAUCAUGAACUUUUCGCCAUUUUUGCUCGAGCUUGUAAGCAAGAAGACGAAAAGGCAAUUAAUACACAAAAAAAAAAGAAAAAAGAAUCAAACCAGAAUUGUAGGCUAGGAAGCACAGACACGGCUCAUCUCUCCCCGUAUCGGUGUCGUACGUGUGUCCGAUACAGACACUCGACAGACAUACCCAAAUACGUACGGGACAAGCUGGAAUAUAUCAAAAAAAAAUUAUUGGCAUAUCUUACUAUAUCCGUGUCCUAUUUUUUAAAAAUUAUCAUGUUACCGUGUCUGUAUCAUAUCGUACCCGUAUUGCGUGUCUAUAUUCAUAUUCCAUAGCUUGUAGGUAAGGGCUGAACAAAGAAUUGAGUAAGGCACUAGGUCUAGAAUAAAGAAUUAGACCAAUUGAAUCGAAUUAUUGAAUUGAUUUUCUUUGUAUUUUUAAUAUAUCUUUAAUAAUUUUAAAAUUUUAUAUGAUUGGACCGAGUCGUUAAUCAAUAAAAAUUGAGGGUCUAAUAGAUUAAAAAAACACCUUUUUAACAUAUAUAAAACUCAAAAAAAAUAUUCUUUUUUAAAUUCCUUAACUUACCUGUCCUGCUGAUGUGAUUCUGGCUUUUUAACGGUGUUGUUGGUGAACCCUACGGUUGCCUCCAUGAACUUUCUGUCAUCGUUCGAUCUUGUAAGCAAUUCAAGAACACGAAAAGGUAAUUGGUUUUCCAACAAGAACAGAUCCGAGUACUCAAAUGUCAGCAGUUCGUUUUUAAUAGACAAUUCGUUCGACAGAUGCUCAUAAUCUUGGCCAUCAACAUCAUCAUUACCGUAACGCAUAUAAACUGCUUGUAAAAUUGAGCAGCCGUCAACGAAGAACAUCCAAGCCAGAUUCUCGUUAUCGUUGGUAUACUUAUCUAAUUCCUUUGGAUCAUAGCAUCUCUUCAAGUCAUCGAUCUCUGUCUUAAUGUUGUUGUACAAGGUUCCCCUAUCGACGCCAAUGUUUUUGACCAAAAGUGUUGUUAAUUUGCACUUGAGCUUCUUGGAUUCAUGGAGGGUGGGAUCAGCGUGGUGGAGUGGACCGAUUGAGAUCACUUUCGGCUUGAAAUACUUCCUGAAAUCUUCGUGACUGCCAAGGGUUGAUGGGACUCUUCGUAUCAAUGGUUUGGCUUUGGGGUCGAGUUGUUUGCCGUCGAAAGCUUCGUCUAAUGACCGGAAAUUCUCUAAUUCGCCAUUGCUGAGAGUGAGCUCCGUACCCGGCAUUGGAACGAUCGUCUCUUGGGGAUUGUUGGUGGUUUUGGUGAUUGUUUGAUCAGUAUAAUACUAAUGAUAAUUGUAGUAUGGUAUUUGAUCUUCCUUUUCUUUUUCUCUAGUAGGAGCCACUCUGGUGUCUUUUAUCAAAGGAUAUUUAGUUUCAUUGGCUGCUCCAACAUACUAUUUUCUUAAUGAGAUAAAUUAAUGUAGUUAAUUUUAUAUUGAUUUCAAUCAUAUUCAUCGCUAGAUAUUGUUUCAAUAAGAAAUCAAAACAAUCAAAUUUCAUUUUCUACACAAGAGCAAUGGGAUUGGAAAAUUACUUUUUUAUCUUUUAAAUGUAUACAAUUUUAAAUUAUAAUGGUAAAAUUAUACUUUGGUCCCUCAUAAAUCACAAGAUUUUAAUUUAGUUGUUUAAAAAAUUUAUAAAAAUAUUAGCUAAUACAAUGAUGAAAUUAGGUCUUAACUCUUACCAUAAUUUAUAAUUUAGUUUUGGUCCCUCAAAAAAAAAAAUUUUAACUUCACCCUUCUUUCCACACUAGCAAAAAUUUUACUUUAUAUCAAUUGCACUAAUCAGAACAUUGUACAUUAAUUAGUAUAUGACUAAUAUUAAAAAAUAUAUAAAAAUACUAUUUCUUUUAUCAACUUUAGAGUUUAACUAAAUAUAUAAAAUUUAUAUAAUCCCAUUCAUUUAAUGUUUUUAAAUAUUUUAAAAAUCUAUCGAUAAUUUUGAAAAGAUAUACAAAAACAGGCUAGUACUAAUAUGUAUCAAUUUUUGUGGAAAAAUAGUGCGUGUAGUACUAACUACCUUGGAAUAUAAAAAUCAUUUAGUUCUUUAGUUUGGCAACUUUCCUCAGCUUAGUCCUUAAACUUUUAUUUUAUCUACAUUAGUCUUCGAGCUUGACAAUUUUUUUUUAAUUUUGAUUAAUAUAAUGACACAUCAUUCUGAUAUUGUGUAAUGCCAUCACUUGAAAAUUAUAUUUUUAUUAAAAAAAUAGGUGCUGACAUGAUAAAACGUCACCAUAAUAAGCAAAAAUGAGAAAAAUUGUCAAAAUUCAUGACUGAUGUAAACAAUGGUGAAACCAGGGGAUGGCAAGGGCUCCGCCCCGUCCCCCAAAAUGAUUUUUUUUUUCAUUUAGGCCCAUUUAUAAUUUAUAAAAUUUUAAAUUCGUAAUGGUAAAAUUAUAUUUUACACCAAAAACGAUAAAAAUUGAUUUAACCAUUUAAAUAUUAUAAAAAUUGUAGAGUAUUAAAAUAGUAAAAUUAUAUUUUUAUUAUUACGAAAAUAUACAACUUAAUUUCGGCCCGCCCCAAAAGAAUAUUUGACUACACCCUUGAAUAUGGACAAAAAAAGAAAGUCUAGAGAUCGAAUUGAAAAAAGUUACAAAAUUUAAUGAUUAAAUGUUGUCUUACUAUUUUAUUUAACUAAAAGUGUGUCAUAGACACCAAAGUCUUGUAAUUGAGUAAUAAAAAUUUGAUGCUUUUAAGUAAAUCUUGAAUUUAAAUCUCAUAAAUAGAGAAAACAAUACUAAAAAAAUUUUACUUCCCACUUAAGAAUCCAACCCAACUCAAUUUCAAAUUUAUUGCAUAAAAUACGAGCAUGCAUGGAAUAUAUUGUCUCUAACCUUCUCUUUCACUUACUUUUUUAGAUAUUCAAACUUAAAUGAGUUCUAUGAUUAAACAUUUUUUGACCACAAAAUCAAUCACUUUGUCAUGAAAUUAUCAUUACCCAUAUUCUCAAACUUGAUAUUUUUAGGAACAUCAAAUUUUUUUAUUGAAGUUAUUAUACUUGAUUGUUUGCGCAUAUAUUAAUUGCAUUUCUCGUUCUACCUAACUCAUGAAAAAUCUCAACUUGCAACCACAUAUUAUUCACAUGACAAUCAACCAAUUCUUUUUGUUUUUCUUUUUUUUUGUGUAAUUAAGGUAAAAUAAUUUUGAUUGUCUUUCAUGGAUUGAAUAAUCUAGAACAUAAAAAGUUAACAAAAUUAUAUUUUUAAAGUAUGAUUCAAUAUUUAAGUUAAAUUGUAAUUUUUUUAGAUAAAAUGUGACAAAGGUUAUUCAAUUAUAAAAAGUUAUAAAAUAGUCAUUUAAUUAUUAGUAAAUUUUUAUUUUAGUUGUACAACUAUUUAAUUUUGUCACUAGCUGGCUAACAUAAAAAUAAAAGCACCCAAAAAUCUAAGAUAAUUGGGUGAUAAAAAAAUAAAAUUGAAUAAUUGAGUGACUAUUUUGUAACUUUUCAUAAUAAAAUGACAAGAAAUCAUAAUUUAGUUUUGCAAGGAUAAGUAAGAAGAAGAGCUUAUCCCUACAAGACAGGUAGCAACAGUUAUUGAAGAAUUAUUCACGUUUUAGAUUUUUUCUUCUAUGUAAAUACAAUGAUGUUAAGAAAUUGACUAGUGCCAAGCUCACUUUAGCAACGAUCACUUCAAAUUUUCAAGCAUACAACAGCAGCAGCAGCAGGCAGCGAACGUAUGCACUAAUAUUUACUAAUUUAAGAAGACAAUAGGGAUGGUCAAAUAUUCUAAUUGAACCUAUCUGCGAUCGGAUCGGGAUGGAUUUUUUAAAUUUAAAAAAUUAAAUAGAUUUAAUCGAAAUUCUAGGAGUUACAAAAUUCUCAUAAAUAACAAGAUUUUACAAAAAGUACACUUACUUUGGUUGAUGUAUGGUAUAAUAAGCCUGCAAAACACCGAUAAAAAGUGCACCAAUGGCACCCACAAAUGCGAAAAACGUCCAACGAGUCCUAAAAAAAGUACGGUAAACUUGAGCUGGAUAUCUAAUCCACAUAUUGUUAUGAUGAUCAUGUAUUUGCAGUUUAACAUGUCUGUAAAUCAUCAGACUGGGAACCAAAUCCAUGUUCAUCUUCUUGAUAAGCUUAGCCACUUCUUUAUCACUCCCCAAUCUAUUGUAUAGUAUGCCGGAGUCUCUCAGUUCCUUAACAUCUUCGGCUUCAUCGAUCAAUGAAUCAAGGAAACCCAUAUAUGAAGUGACGGCGAAAUUGUUGUUGUAGAAAUCCGGACACAUUUCGUAAGCUAUUAAAUUCAUGGUUGAAUCAUCGAUGGUGAUCGGCGGUAACCGUAAUUUUCCGACGAAGAAGUAACGGUUGAAACUGAUGUCGGCUAAACAACUUGUUUCGCUUGCUUCUAACCAUAUCCCGGCGUUUUUAAGCCCAUUUACGUUACGAAAAGGGUGUGAAUGGUGCGGUUUUGUUCUUGUGUGGUCGCUGCGAUUUGUGAAGGAUAUGCAAAACCUAGAAUCAGCUGGUUUUUCUUUAUUGAAAAGGAGUCUUACUCGUAGUAGAUGCAAUAAGUGAAUUCGCUCUCCUUGCUGCGGCCACCAUUCACUAGACCGAAAUCUGUGUUAAUCGGGAGCCAGCUAAAAUUAAGGUUUUCAAUGGUUGAAUCAAAUCAUUAUUAUUUUAAUAAAACAUUAUUUAAAUUAUUAAAUUACAUUUUAAUCCUUUUAAAAAUUAUUAAAUUAUAAAUUUAUAUACAAUAAAAUUAUACUUUGACUCCUCAAAAUGAAUAAAAAUUUGUUCAAACACUUUUGAAAAAUGAUUGAAAUCAUAAAUUAAUACAUAAAAAAAAAUACAAGAACCAAACCAAACUUAUCGAUCGGCCUAAUUAGACAGAAAAUCGAGCAAGGUACUAGUCCAGAAUAAUAAAUUAAAUCCAUUGAAUCCAAUCAUCGAAUGGAUUUUUUUUUAUAUCUUUAAUAUAUCUUUAAUAUUUUUAAAAUUUUAUAUAAUUGAAUCGAAUAAACUAAUCAAACGAAAAUGAGACUCUAAUCGAUUCUAUCACCUAUAUAUGUAGUUGUAAAAUCCUUUAACAUUUAUAAACUCCACAAAAUAAUUCUUUUAUAAAUUCCUUAAAUUACCUGUCCUGCUAUGUGAUUGUGGGUUUUUAACAGUGCCGUUGAUGAACCUUAUGAUUGAAUCCAUGAACUUUUUGCCAUCCCCCGAGCUUGUAAGCAAUUCAAGAACAUGAAAAGGUAAUUGGUUUUCCAACAAGAACAGAUCCGAGUACACAAAUGUUAGCAAUUCGUUUUUAAUAAGAAAUUCGUUGGGCGUACGACAAUAGUCUGGGCCGUAAAGCAUAUAAACUGCUUGUAAAUUUGCGCAGCCGUCAACGAAGAACAUCCAAGCCAGUUUCGCGUUGUCGUAGCUACACUUCUCUAAUGCCUUUGGAUCAUAGCAUUUCUUCAAGCCAUCGAUCUCUGUCUUCAUGUUGUUGUACAAGGUAUGCUUAUCGAUGCCAAUUUUUUUGAAGAAAAGUGCUGCUAAUUCGAGCUUGAGCUUCUCGGAUUUAUGGAGGGUGGGAUCAGCGUGGUGGAGUGGGCCGAUUGAGAUCACUUUCGGCUUGAAAUACUUCCUGAAAUCUUCGUGAUGGCCAAGGGAUGGUGGGACUCUUUGUAUCAAUGGUUUGGCACGGAGGUCGACUUGGUCGCCGUCUUUGCCUAAUGACCGGAGAUUCUCUAAUUCGCCAUUGCUGACAGUGAAGUCCGUAUCCGUAAUUGGAAUGAUCGUCUCUAGGGGAUUGGUGUCGGUGGUGAUUGUUUGAUCGGUGGAAACUGCUCCGCCGGGAGCUCCGACGGGGCCGCCUCUUUCCUCCGUGGAGGACAUUUUCAGGGUGAGCGGUUGGAAGUAAUAAACAAGGUGAUUUUGUAAACUGUUUUUGGCUGAGUGAGUGAUGCUGGAGAAAAGGUGGCAAAAUGGCUACGAUGAUGAUAAAUGUUUUAUAGCUGACAUAAUAAACAUAUAUGGGGAAUAAUUAAGGCGUUAGUGUUUAUUUUUACUAAUAUAAUUUUAAUAUUUUAAUUAAAUUUAAUUCUCUUUUGAAGGAGUCAAUCUUAAAAAAGAAAAGUUAAAUUAAUGUUUUUUUAACAAAAAUAGUGACAAAUAUUAAAAUUGAGGAUAACAUUAUAGAACUUAAUACUCAACACAACCUAAAACCUUCGCCUUAACCAAGAAACUAAGACCCUAUCAGAGGGAGAAUUUUAUAUCUACAACACUUCCUAAAUUUCACUAGCUUAAUAAUAGCUAUUCAAAAUUUUUAAUGAACCUAUUUCGCGUCACAUGCGGUAGAAAAUAAUCUAAGAAAGGCAUGCACUAGUCAAUUGUUUUUAAGUACUAAUAUUUAGGGAUAAAGUAAUAUAAAAAUGAGAUUUUGUUUAUCAGUUAUCUUCUUGCUGCUCCCACCACCAUUCACUACACCAAAAUCUGUGUUAGUCGGGAGCCAAGAUAUAAUUUCUCUCUCUUUUCCUUUUUUUUUAGUGAACUUGGAACUGUUAAUUUUAUGAAGCUAAAAUUAAGAUUUCCAAAAUAGAUAAUCCAACCGAUUAAGUUAUUAAUUAAUAAAUAUUAAUUUAUUUGAUUUAAUUAAAUAAAUUAUUAAAAAUUUCGAUUCGAUAACACUAUUCAAUUAAAUUUUGGUUAAUAAAAAUGUUAAAUUUACUAAAAUGAUAAUUUUUUAUUUACAAAAUCCAGGAAAUGGGUUCGGGAGUCGGUUACGCAUAAGGUAAAUUGAGAUUUAUUUGAUUUAUUAAUAAAAAUGUUAAAUUUACUAAAAUGAUGCUUUUUGGUCUACAAAAUCCAAGAAAUGGGUUCGGGAGUCGGUUACGCAUGAGGAAGGAUUAGCACUCUCAUAACGCCCAAAAUUGGUACCUAGUUGAUUACUUGAUGUCUUAGUGUCUAGAAUUGAGAAUUCAAAGAAAAUUUAAAGCACAAUCCCCUAAUUGCAUGAUUUUAUUAAAAUAUCGCAAACUAAAUUAAAUUUUAUGGAAAUAGCCAUCUUAUUUCGAGUCAAUAGAGAAAAAGGAUCAUGUAUCGUAAGUUUGGGCUUGAUAUCUCAAAUCCUCAAAACUUAAGUAUAUUUGCACAGACAAUGGCUUAGAGUUCUGUUCUAAUGAGUUUAAUAAACUAUAUAAGUCAGAAGAGAUUGCAAGACACUUGACAGUUCGCCAUACUCCAUAGCAAAAUGGCAUUACAGAACAAAUGAACAGAAUGAUCAUGGAGAAGGUUUGAUGUAUGUUGUCAAAUGCCAACUUACCAAAGUCAUUUUGGGUUGAAGCAGCCUCUACUGCAUAUAAUCUGAAAAAGGGUUGUUUUGGUUCUUUGGAUUAGGUGAAAAUCCAGUAGCGGUAGGUGCUUUUGCAGAGAUUUGAACGUUUGAGUUUUCGGUUCGUUGCCAGUAAGUGUUUAGGUUCGCUAUCAAUUUUGAUGUAGACGAUUUUCAGUUGUGAGUUUUCGUUAGUGAUCUAACUUGGGCUCUAGUUAUUUAUUUUUAGGUCUUGGAGUGCUUGGGAGUGUAUUUGCAGCUAAACAAUACCAGGUGUGUACCUGAAAUGCAAAAAUAAGGGAUUCGGCGAAAAGACAAAAUUGCUUGCUGUUUGGACAGUAGCAGUAAGCUAAAUUUGAAAAAUCACUAUAAAUUGUGAAAAUCGAAUUAGAGGAUGAAAAAUAUAUGGAAUUAAAUAUAUUUGAAUCUAGUUUCUCAUAGAAGAAACGAAGUAAGUAAAAGAGUUUCAUAUUAUGAGAUAUUUGAAUUUUAGUGAGAUAGGGUCAGAAUGAUUUUAGAAUCCCCUAUCCUAAUUUUAGAAAAUUAUUAAAAAUUGUAUAAAAAUAAUUAUGGGUUAGAAUUUAUAUGUUUAAAAUCAUGAAUGAGUAUAUUUUUAAGAAAAACAAACGAGAAUAUCAUAUGAAUUCUUUACGAGAAGAUAAUUAAUUUUUAGUGUAGAAAGGUCGAAACUGUCAAACAAUAGAUCAAGGGAAAAUUUAAAGAAUAAACUGUACUUAUUGGCUAAACAAAAAAUUCUGAAAAUUUUAUGGUAAGAAGAUAACUGAGUCUAGUUUCAUGAAAAAUUUUCAGAUCUUAAUCGGAAUUCUGUAGCUUACGAUACAAAUAAUUUAGUAACAGUGACUCAAGUAGAUAGCUUUAAGGAUAAUAUAAGUAAAUAGUGGAAACACAUAUGAAUAAUUAACUAGCACGAGUUACAUUAAAAUAGAUCACGAGGCCAAGGUCAAUUUGGGUCAAGUGGGUCACACGGGCGUGUGGGCCCACACAUUUGAACAUCAUGGGCUUGUGGGCCCAUUUUUACUGUUUGACUGAUAAGGUUGCACGGGUCACCCAAGUCGACUGUGAACCUACUGUAGGGUAGGUAAGUUUACCUAGACCCCUAGUUGACUGAAAUGACUGUAUGACUGAUAUGACUAAACCUGAUGAUGUCCCAUUGAUUUGAUAUUGUAUGCCCUGUUUAAAUGCAUGAUAUUAUGUUAUAGCAUGUCAUAUCUGUAUAUUGCAUUGCAUUGCAUUGGGUUGGGUUGGGGGAUUAUAAUGUUUGGAGGAAGUGUACUGAAAGGCCUCAAGCCUAGUUUACUGGCAGCUCAGCUACAAACUACUAUCUAGUACUGCAUCCGGUACUACUUGGAGUGUAGGGAUGGGUGGGUUGAUUAUAUCCCCACAUGGAGUGUAGGGUUAGACGGAGAUGGUGUGUAGAGGCUGGAUGGGUAGGAUUUUUGUGACUGCAUAGCUGUUACUGCUACUGAUACUGUGAUGGGCUAAAGCCCUACUGCAUAACUGUUUUUGUAUUGAGAUGGGCUAAGGCCCAAACUAGAAUGAUACUGAUACUGAAAAGGGCUUAAGCCCAGACUGUGAUUAUCUGUUUACUGCCUGUACAUUUGUAUGGGGAUUACAUACUGAGUUUACAUAAAUUUACCCCUUCUGUUUAAUCUGUACAGGUAAUGCCCAGAUAUAGGCGGAUCGGCGCAGCGGAGGACUUAGUGGUGGUCACACGAUUUCUUUUACACUGUUUACUACCUAUUCAUGAUUUUACUUUUAUUUAGGAGUAUUUUGCUGUAAUUAUGGCAUUUACGAAUUUUGAUUUAAAAUUUGGAUUUUAUACGAUUUUAUGAUUUAAAUCUACUAACGGUUUUUCAAAUAAAAUUAAUGUUUUAUCAAAAAUACCACGAAUAAGCAAACUGUUUAAAAGCUUCUGCAAUAGAAGUAAAAAAAAUGUUUUGAAAUUGAAUAACAAUUUGUAAAUGAAAACGUUUUGAAAACGAACGACACGAUUUGAAGUUAACAUAAGAUAAUAAAAAAUGGUUAAAUAGAAAAGAGGAUUUAGCGACGACAUAUUUUUCAAAAAGCACUACCAUGUGACGCCGUCAGAUUCAGCCAUAACAUCUAGGCUGGGUUUGGGGUGUUACAUUGAUGUUCGGUAUCAUUUUGUUCGUGAUAUUAUUGUUCGUGGUGAUAUUGUUGUGAGCAAAAUUAGUACUCAUGAAAAUCCUGCAGAUAUGAUGAUUAAGUCAUUUCCUAUAACCAAGUUGAGCAUUGCUGAGACUUGAUUGGUGUUUAUUGUUGAAGUUAAACCCUUAAGGACUUUUAUGGAAGAGGCAGAGAACUUGUUCGUUGAGAAUUCGCGAUGAAGAACUUGUUUAUUGAGAAUUUGUGUCAAGGUGCAGAUUGUUAGAGUUGUGUAACUCAAAUUCUAUAAGAUUGCUUGCAAGUCAAGUUAAACAAAGUAUAUAUUCUUUCUGAAAGAUUUAGUAUUUAUGAGUAUAAUAUAUUUAGCAUUUAUUAGCAUAAUAUUUUCGACUUUGAUUAGAAUUAGGUUUCUUCAACCUAUAAAUAGAUGUAGUCGAAACUUCUCUUGUAACCAUUCGAAUUCGACAUAGUGAAUUUUCUUCUCCUUUGCCCGCGGUUUUUUCCGAAAAGGUUUCCAUGUAAAAAUAUAUGUUCUUCAUUUUUAUUUCUCUUUUCUUUGCGAUAUAUUGUCGUUACCGACGUUCUAUUUUUACACUUAAUUUUUUUAAACUCUAAUUAAAUACUAAAAGUUAAAUUAAAUAGAUUAAAUUGAAAAUCCAAAAAUUACAAAAUUCUUAUAAAUAACAAGAGUUUACAAAAAGUAUAGUAAACAACACUUACUUUGGUUGAUGUAUGGUAUAAUGAGUCCACAAAGAAGACAUAAAAAGUGCAGCAAUGGCACCCACAAAUGCGAAAAAUGUCCAACCAGUAUGAUAAGCUUGAGCUGGAUAUUGAAUCCACAUAUUCUUACAAUGAUUAUGUAUUUGCUGUUUAACCUCACUGUAAGUCGUCUGACUACGAACCACAUCAGUGUUCAUCUUCUUGAUAACCUUAGCCACUUCUUCAUCACUCCCCAAUCUAUUGUAUAGUAUGCCAGCGUCUCUCAGUUCCUUAACAUCUUUGGCUUCAUCGAUUAAUGAAUCAAGGAAACCCAUAUAUGAAGUGACGGUGAAAUUGUUGUAGAGAUCCGGACACAUUUCGUAAGCUAUUAAGUUCAUGGUUGAAUCAUCGACGGUGAUCGGCGGUAACCGUAAUUUUUCGACGAAGAAGAUAUGGUUGAAACUGAUGUCGAAUAAACAACUUGUUUUGCUUGCUUUUAAUCAUAUCUCGGCCUUUUUAAGCUCUUUUACAUUACGAAAGGUGUGUGAAUGGUGUCGUUUUGUUCUUGUUUGGUUGCUGCGAUUACAUGAAAAAUCGAGUGCAAAACCUACGAUGCCGCCAUGGUUUUAAUUUGGUCCUUUAAAAAAUUAUAAAUAUAUUAACUAAUACUAUGAUGAAAUUGAGUCUUAACUCUUAUCAAAAUUUAUAACUUAAUUUUGGUUCUUCAAAAAUAAUUUUCUGGCUUCACCCUUAUUUCUGCAUUAGUAAAAAGUCUAAUCUAUAUCAAUUGCACUGAUCAAAAUAUUAUACAUUGAUUGGUAUAUAAAAGAUAUUAAAAAUAUAUAUAAAAAUGCUAUUUCUUUUACCAAUUUUAAACUUUAGCUAAAUUAAAGUAGAAACUUUAAUAUUUUAAGUAGAAAACAAAAAAAAAAAACAAAUAAGCCAAUGAAAAGAAAAAGUGGAAAUAUAAAUUUUAUUAAACUUUAAUUUUCUUAGUAUGAGAUGAUGAUGAUGUUGUGAAUUUUUUAAAAUAAUGUUAUGGUUAAUUCAACCUUUAACAUGUCUUUAAGUAUAAUGUAUAUUUUUAUAAUACUAAUGAUAAUUGUACUUUGCCAAGUCACCAAGUAUGGUAUUUGAUCUUACUUUUCUUUUUCUCUAGUAGGAGCCACUCUCAUGUCUUUUACCAAAGGAUUUACUUUCCUUGGCUGCUCCAACAUACAAUUUUCUUUGUGAGAUAAAUUAAUGUAGUUAAUUUUAUAUUGAUUUCAAUCAUAUUGAUCCGUAGAUAUUGUUUCAAUAAGAAAUUGAAACCAUCAAUUUCAUUUUCUGCACAAGAGCAGGUAAGGAUUGAAAAUUUGCUUUUUAUCUUUUAAAUAUAUAGAAUUUUAAAUUAUAAUAGUAAAAUUGUAUUUUGGCCCCUCAUAAAAGCUCGAACCUGGGUGAGUUCUAUCACUAAACAUCUCUUAACCACAAGGUGAAUCACAAGAGUCCUCUAGCUUGACAACUUUUUUCAAUUUUGGUGCAUGUAAUGACAUGAGACACUGAUAUUGUGUUAUGCGAAAUCAUACUUCAAUUGUAAUUAUUACUUGAUAGCGGUACAAGAUUUUCGUUACAAUGUCUAGAACUACUUAUAAUCUCCAACCAUUAAAUAAGAAGAUAAAUGUACUUUAGCGCGCUCGAACUGACGUUAUUUUGCAUUGACAACAAUCCUAAUGUCAACCAAACUAAAACUCAGUAUAACAAUGGUACAUUAGGUUAAAUGUCUUGAUGUUUUAUUUUCUAUUUUUUGCAAUUGCAAUUGAAUUCCAAACGAAGGUUUCGUUUACAGAACCAUAAAAGCUUUAAAAAUAUUAACUUUGUUAAACAAUAAAUGUUGUAUUUAUUUCAAUUUAAUUUUUUUAUUUUUUAAUAAUAUUAAGAAUUAAAUUAAUUAUUUAAUAGUAAAAAGACUAAUCUAAUUAGGUCCUAUAAUAUAGGGACCUCUCAAAUACAUUCCCUUAACAUUACUUUUUUCGAAAUACAGACAAAAUAAACUAGACUUAUGGGAUGGUGCAUCUAAUUCAACCUUGUAACAUGUCUUUAAGUAUAAUAUAUAAUAAUUGUACUUUGCCAAGUCACUAAGUAUGGUAUUUGAUCUUACUUUUCGUUUUUCUCCGGUAGGAGCCACUCUCAUGACUUUCUCGAAGGAUUUAGUUCCAUUGGCUGCUCCAACAUACUACUUUUUUUAUUGAGAGUAGUUGAUUUUGUAUCGAUCUCAAUCAUAUCAGUAGGUAGGUACACAUUGUUCCAAUAAGAAAUCGAAAUGAUCAAUUUCAUUUUUCGCACAAGAGCAGUGGAAAAUUGUUUUUUACAUAAAAUGUUAAUCUAAUUACAAGGUUUUAAUUUAGUUCUUUAAAAAUUAUAAAGAUAUUAGCUAAUACAAUGAUUUAAUUGAGUCUUAACUCUUACUAAAAUUUAUAACUUAAUUCUGGUCCCUCAAAAAUAUUUUCUAACUUCACCCUUAUUUCUACAGUAAUAAAAAUUCUAAUCUAUAUCAAUUGCACUAAUCAAAAUACUAUGCAUUGAUUAGUAUAUGAGUAAUAUUAAAAUAUUUCUUUUGCCAACUUUAAACUUUAACUAAAUUAAAGUAGAAAAUAAAAAAAUAAAAAGAUAAAGAAUUUAUUUAACAAAUAAGCCAAUGAAAAAAAAGUGGAAAUAUAAAAUCUCUAAAAGCUUAAUCAUCACACAUUGAGGAGUACACUUUUAUUAAGCUUUAAUAUUUUAAAUAUGAGAUGAUAUUAUGGAUAACUUUUUAUUUAAUGUAUUGCUUGGUUCUUUUUUUCUUUUGGAUUUGUUAAAUGAUGAAUUAUGGAUUUUAUUUGUGAAGUUUUUUAUGAAUAUAUAUAAUUAAUUAAUAUUUUUAUAUUUAAAAUUUAUUUAAUCUCAUUCAUUUAAUGUUUUUAAAUUUUUUAUAUAUUAAAUAUUUUAAAAUUUUAUCAAUAAUUUUGAUAAGAUGUACAAAAACAUGCUAGUACUAAUAUGUAUUAGUUUUUGUAGAAAAAUGGUCCGUCCAUUAAUGUAGUACUAACUACCUUGGAUAAAAAAUUAUUUUACCCUUGAAUUUAGCAACUUUCUUCAACUUAGUCCUUAAACUUUUAUUUAUCUACAUUAGUAUUAUAACUUGACAACUUUUCUCAAUUUUGAUGCAUGUGAUGACACAACACUCUGAUAUUGUGUCAUGCCAUCAUUUAAAAAUAAUAUUUUUAAUAAAAAUUAGGUGUUGACAUGGUAGAAACGUCACCAUAAUGACCAAAAUGAGAAAUGUUGUCAAAAUUCAUGACCGAUGUAGAUAGUGGGGAAGCAAGGGGGUUGAAAAGGGCUCUGCCCCCCCCCCCCCCCCGCCAAAUGAAAAAAAUUCAUUUAGUCCCCUUUAUAAUUUAUAAAAUUUUUAAUUAGUAAUGGUAAAAUUGCAUUUUGCCCCCUCAAAAUGAUAAAAAAUUGAUUUAAUCCUUUAAAAAUGAUAAAGAUAUAUGCCAUUAAAAUGGUGAAAUUACAUUGUUUAUUGUAAAAAUAUACAACUUAAUUUCAGUUCCUGCCCAAACAAUUUUUGGCUUCUCCCUUGAAUGUGGACCAAAAAAGAAAGUCUAGAGACUGAUAAGUGCUAAAAGUAAUAUGUUUUAAUCUCGUUUUUAAUGCAUUUUUGGAUGGUUAUUCAAUUUAAAAUGGUGAAUUUUAUGCUCCUAAUCCUUUAAAUUUAUGUUUCUAUACUUAGGAAAACAUUUGGGAGCAAAAAGAGUGAAAAUCGAAAAAUCGGAGCAAGUUUCAAGAGACACACUGGUUGGGCCAUUCUACAUGGGCAGAACACAUGGCAGUGUGAGCCACACAGGCUUCUACACGGCCAUAAGCUAGACCAUGAGGAAAUCACAAAUCGCACUCCAAACCUGCAAGAAAGCUCAUUUUUUGUAGAUUUUUCGGGAAUUCUAAGACCUAUAUAUGACAAAAAUAAGAAGAUGGGAGGGAGCCGUCAUAGAAUAUUGAAGAAAAAACUCAGAAAACACCAUUAAAGCCGACUCUGAAGCAGAUUUUCAUCAAGAUUGAAGAUCUCUUUUUGAUUUCUUUGAAGUUUAUUAUGAGUUCCUUUAUUUCUUGUGGUUAUACUGUCUUUAGGAUGUUUUUAUUUACUAUCACGAACUAAUUUUCUAAAUACCUAGGGAGAUGAACCCUAUGAUGGAUUAUGUUAUUUGAUUUCUAUUUUUAUGCAAUAAACACUUGAAUCUUGUUUUCAAUUCUGAGUGCUUAACUCUGGGUUUAAUAUUUCUAGGCUACUAAUCCAUGUUUGUGUGCUUAAAUCAUAGGAGGGAUAGACCUAUUUAAGAGUAGGUUUGGCGUAAUUGAGUGAAGUUGCAUACAAUCUUAGAAAUAGGAUAGCAUAAAUCUACCGGAUUAGAGUCAAAUCUAAUAGGGGGAUCCAUAGAUCGAAUUAAUGUGACAAUAGGGGUUUUAAUUAAAAAGAAAUUUUAAUUAAUCAACCUAGAUUGAGUUGCUCUUAGUCUUGAAGAGAGAUAUUAGCAUAAUUUAGGGAUUUCUAUGGAUCAAGAUACUAAGUGAAGAAAUUGCGUAAUUUAGAUUGAUAGAGACAGAUGAAGCCCAAGUGAAUUCUUUUCUGGGUAUUGUUUCGCUUCUUGGUUGCUUACUCGUUUAAUUUCUUAAAUUGUUCUUUGUUGCGUUCGUAGUUAAUCAAUCUUGUUGAUUUUAGUUUUCAAUCAAAUCAUUCAAAUUUGUUGCUUAAAUAAUAGAAAGACAGUAAUUACUAGUACUUCUAGUCUUCAUGGGAACGAUAUCUUUGCUCAUCGUAACUAGCUAUUAAUUGAUAGGUGCACUUGCCUUAGUCAUAUUUUUAAUUGGUUUACAAUUGUAAAUAGAGACCAAAUUGAAAAAAAAUUGUCUAAUUUAAGGAUUAAAUGUUAUCUUAUUAUUUUAUUUAACUAAAAGUGUGCCAUAUACACCAAAGUCUAGUAAUUGAGCAAUAAAAAUUAGAUGAUUUUAAGUAAAUCUUGAAUUUAAAUCUUAUGAAUAGAGAAAACAAUACUUUUUUUUUUACUUCCCACUUAAGAACUCAACUCAACAAAAAUAAAAAAAGGUGUUGUAAACUUUGUUGCAUUGUGUGUUAUCCUGAUCCAAAUUAGUGAAAAGGAACUGCAUCCUAAACUUAUUCAAACCAAAUGAUUUAAGUGUCAAUUGGGCAACACAUUUAAGAUGUGUAACAAAUUUGUUCUUCUUUUUUUAAUUUAAUCUUUUUUUCUAAAUACAAAAAAUAUUUUACUAAAUUGAUCUAUUUAAUGGUAAAUAGACUAAUUUGAUCAGAUCCUAUAAUAUAAGGAUCUCUCAAAUAUAUUUCCCAUAAAAUUACUUUUUUUUGUUACAGCUCGUGACACUUGGAGCUAUACCAACAAAUGGUAUACAGAACCUGUCAUCUUUGAGGGUCUUUAUUGUUGGUAGUUUUUUUUAUGAGAAACCUUGAAGAAAAAGAAACUCAGGCUAUUGUUUUUAUUGUUGCUACAAAAUGAAUUUUACACCACCACCACCACCUGUUUCUGCAGGUGAAAACUACCACAUUUGGGCAGUAAAGAUGAAGACUUACCUACAAGCACAUGACUUGUGGAAUGUGGUUGAGAAUGACACAGAACCAGGUCCAUUAAGGGUCAAUCCCACUAUUGCACAAAUUAGACAACAUAGUGAAUAGUGUGCUAAAAAGCACAAAGCUAUGUCAUGCUUACAAAAUGGAGUGUCUGAUGUGAUCUUCACUCGAAUAAUGGCUUGUGACACUCCAAAGCAAGCCUGGGAGAAGCUGAAGGAAGUGUUUUUAGGGUCAGGCAAGACUAGGCAACAGUAGUUGAUCAACCUCGGGAAGGACUUUGAGAACUUGAAGAUGAGAGAGUCUAAAACAAUCAUGCAGUACUCUAAAAGGAUAAUAGCCACAGUCAACAAAAUCAGGCUCCUUGAGAUGAAUUCAGUGAAAGCAGAAUUGUUGAGAAUGUCAAUACAACCCUUCCUGAAAAAUUUCAAGCAAAAAUCUCCUCAUUGGAGGACUCGAGAGAUUUAUCAACCAUCUCACUAUUUGAGUUGAUAAAUGCUCUAUAUGCAUUAGGGCAAAGAAGGGCCAAUAGGCUGAAGGAGCAUCCUGAAGGAGCUUUCUAACCAAAAACCAAGGAAAGCUCAGGUUCGAGCUACAAAGGAAAUUAACCAUGGCUUGACAAAAGGGAGAAACCAAAGAGAGAUGCAGGGAAGAAAAGGUUCCCACCAUGCAUUCAUUGCCAAAGGUCCACACACUUUGAGUUGUGAUAGAGCUAAUUGUCAACAUGUCAUAAUGUUCUAUUGAUAUUAAAGCUAAAGGAGCUUAUCCUUUAAUGCGUACAACUAGUAUUUGUUUUUUUUUUCCCGAAUUAUAUGGUCUUAUUCAUUGAAUAAAUUAAUAAAUUUCUCUUCAAAAAAUUGAUUCUCUUUCAUAGAUUGAAUAAUUUAGAACAUAGAAAGUUACUAAAAUAUUGUUUUUAAAAUGUUAAGUCAAUAUUUAAGGUAACUUGUAAUUCUUUUUUGGAUGAAUUAUAAUACACCCUAUCUAAUUAUGAAAAGUUAUAAAAUGAUUAUUUAAUUAUUAGUAUUUUUUUUACCCAAUUACAAAAAGUCAUAAAUUGGUAGAGGUGCUCAUGAGCCAAGUCAGGCCCAAUCAAAAUCUUAGGCUCGGGCCAAAAAAUGGGCCUAAAAUUUCACCCAAGCCUAGCCUGAAUAAAAAUACUAAAACCCGAGCCCGACCUGACCUUAUUAAAAUUUUUUAUAUUAUUUUUUAUAUAAUUUUUUAAAAAUAAAUAUAAUAUAUCAAAAAUACUAAAAAUUUGAAAAUAAAUUUAAAAAAUAUGUAUACUUAAAUAACACUAAGAUAGGUGCAACUUAACAAGCAAAUACCUCUAAAAUAGUAACAAAAUUAACAAUAAAACAAUAAUUAAUAUCCAAACAAUAACAACAAAAUAGUAGCAACAUUAUAGUGAAAUGAUAGCAAAAUAUUGAGAAAACAACAAAAAUAAUAGCAGCAAAACAGUUAAAAAAAAGCAAGAAAAAAACAACAUUUUUUUUGCAAAUUCAGGCCAGGCCAGGCUCAGGCCAAAAAAAGCCUUACUCAAGGCUCGAAACGGGCCUUAUUUUUUUACUCAAGCCCAUUUUCUAGACCUAUAUUUUUACUCAAACCCUCCAGUUUUCAAAUAGUCAUAAAAUAGUUAUCCAACUAUUCAAUUAUAUAUUUUUUGGUUACUAGUGGGCAAUAUAAAAAUAAAAGUACCCAAAAAUUCAGGAUAGUUGAGUGAUAAAAAUACAAAAUUGAAUAAUUAAAUAAUUCUUUUGUAACUUUUUAUAGUUAGAUGACGAGAAAAAAAUAAAAAUAAAAAUUAGGAGAUUACUAAAGUAAUUUAUUUUUGCAAGGGUUAUUGAAGAAUUAUUCGCAUUUUAAAUAUUUUCUUAUAUGUAAAUACAAUGAUGCUAAGCAAUUUACUUUUUGGAGUCUAUAUAAGGAAAUGGGCCUUAGGAUUUGCUAGUGCCACACUCACUUUAGCAACAAUCACUUCAAAUUUUCAGGCCCACAACAACAGCAACAGCCAGCGAAAUCUAAAAAAGGUAUGCACUAAUAAUUUGUUUUUAAGUACCAAUAGAUAUUUUGAUUUACUUUAGUAUUUAAAUAUCGUUAUGUUACAUGGUUUAUUCUGAUGCGUCGUUGAGAGCACCAAAAAUAUUUUAUUCCUAUAAAAUAACGAAAAGAAUAGUAUAAGGGAAAUAGGGUCAAAUUCUCAGGAACUGAAUUUGCACAAGUUCCUGAUCCUCGAGAUCUCGGGCAGAGUCGUGCUCAAGAAAAACGACGUACCUAGAAAAAAAUUUAAAAAAUAGAAUUAAAAGUAUGGAUGAAUUGAGAUUGCGUAAAAUGAAAUUGAAAUUGUAAAAAUAAACAGAGUUGAGGAAAGAGAAUCUUUAAUGGAGAGAUUUCAGCCUCUAGUUAUCUCGAUCCUCCUUGGGUUCAAUCCUAGGCUUUUAAAUGAUCCUUCUCCUAACAGAAUAAGCCAGUUAUAGUGAAAGAGAAAGCCUACGACCACCAGCUCCACUUAGAUUUUAGACUUACGAUAUAAAGAAACCUAACUCUAGCCAACCGUCACUUUUGUGGGACCGUCUUACACGAGAUCAUCACUUCUCAAUAACAAAUGCCAUGCCAUUUUGUCUCUUGGGCUCAACAACCACUGACAGUGACUCAUGUUUUAUGGGAAAAAUAAAUAAACUUAAUAAAAAUAGAAUUUUAUUGAAUAAAUAAAAGGAACAAAAGCUAGAGCUUUUUGGGAGAGUGAGCUUUUACAGAAAGAUGAGUCCAAUUUGUUCACUCCAUCCCCUACUUAUAAUACUUAGAAAAUCUAGUUUGUCCCUAUUUAAAUUCUAAAAGAUAAAUAAAGAUAAAAGCUGAAAUUAAAUCUAAACAAUAAUCCUAAUAUAAUUCAAAUUUAAAUAGUCUUCUGUUUAUAAAAUCUCUUCUUUGAACUUUUGCCCCCCCAAGUCUUCCACACUUUGCAUUUUCGGCACCACUUCUUUCCUAUUUCGCAUGUUGGCAUAUUUUAUCUUUAAAUUUAUGCUUUUUGCCCCUAAAUUUCCUUUUGCCUUCAAUUUAGUUCCUACAAGAUAAAAAAUCAUAAAUAGCUCAAAUUAGUAGGAUCAUACUCAAAAUAAACAUGUAAUUAAUACAUAAAAAUAUGUCAUUCCUGACUAUUAUCAUAUUCUAAAUACUUAACAUCAUCAAAAAAAAUAUUAAGUGGUACGUUUAAAAAAUAUUAUGUUUAAUAUUUGAGGUUAAUUGUGUGAUGAGAUGAUAAUUUAUAUAUCACAACGAAUUUAAAAUUUUAAAUAUUAUGAUUAAAAAAAACUUAAAUUCUAAAAUGAAAAAAAAGAGAAUAAUUUAAAAAUUAAAUUGAGUACAAAAUCAUUUUUUAAUUAUGAGUAAAAUAUAUUUUGAGACAAUGCAAUUUUAAGUAUUUCAAUUUAUUUAAUCAUUAUUUUAUACUUACCUAUUUAUCAUAUCAAAUAUCAUGAUUCUCUAACAUUAUUAAAAUUAAGCAAUCAAAAAAAAUUUAAUUAAGUCUCUUAAAUUUUAAUUUUUAAAAAAAAUUGAUUAAACACUAAAAAUUAAAUUAAAUAGAUUGAAUCGAAAAUCCAGAAAUUACAAAAUUCUCAUAAAUAACAAGAGUUUACAAAAAAGACUAGUAAACAGCGCUUACUUUGGUUGAUGUAUGGUAUAAUGAGUCUGCAAAGAAGACACAAAAAGUGCAGCAAUGGCACCCACAAAUGCGAAAAACGUCCAACGAGUCCUAAAACAAGUAUGAUAAGCUUGAGCUGGAUAUUGAAUCCACAUAUUCUUACAAUGAUUAUAUAUUUGCUGUUUAACCUCACUGUAAGUCGUCUGACUACGAACCACAUCAGUGUUCAUCUUCUUGAUAAGCUUAGCCACUUCUUCAUCACCCCCCAAUCUAUUGUAUAGUAUGCCAGCGCCUCUCAGUUCCUUAACAUCUUCGGCUUCAUGGAUCAAUGAAUCAAGGAAAUCCAUAUAUGAAGUGACGGUGAAAUCGUUUUUGAAAUCCGGACACAUUUCGUAAGCUAUUAAGUUCAUGGUUGAAUCAUCGAAGGUGAUCGGCGGUAACCGUAAUUUGCCGACGAAGAAGAUAUGGUUGAAACUGAUGUCGGAUAAACAACUUGUUUUGCUUGCUUUUAACCAUAUCCCGGCCUUUUUAAGCUCUUUUACGUUACGAAAGGUGUGUGAAUGGUGCGGUUUUGUUCUUGUUUGGCUGCUGCGAUUUAACGUGCACAUGAAAAAUCGAGUGCAAAACCUAAAAUGCCGCCAUGGUUUUUCUUUUUUUUUCUUUUUCGAAAAUGAGUCUUACUCGUAGUAGAUUCAAUAGGUGAAUUCGCUCUCCUUUUUGCUGCUGCCACCAUUCACUAGAGCAAAAUCUGUGUUAGUCGGGAGCCAAGCUAUAUAUAUAUAGGAUUUGGAAUUGUAAAUUUUUAUCAUAACUAAAGUUAAAGGAUUCAAAAUCGAUAGUCCAACCGGAUAAGUUGGUCCAAUCAAUUCAUCCAAUUUGAUUAAAUAAAUCAUUAAAAAUAUCAGUUCAAUCACUUGAUUUAAUUAAUUUUUUUCCAGCUCAACAUGUUUAUAUAGGUUCUCAAAUUAAAUAGUCUAAUGAUUUUAUUCGGACUGAUACCUCAAUUUAUUUCCAAUCUAAUCCUAUUUAAAUAACAUUGACUAAAAUAUAAUUUUUAUUAUUGUAUUAAUGCAAAAAUUUUACCAUUUUUAAAGAUGUUAGACUAUCAAUUUUCCAUUUUAAAAAGUUGGAUCGGAAACAUAAUUAUUUUCUAAAAAAAAAUGUACACUCAACAGCAACAAUGCAAAGGGACAGGGGUGGAUUUGAAAAAUGAAAAAUUACAUUUUAUUCUCUUUAAAAAUUAUAAAUUAUAAAAUUAUAUAAUAAUAAAAUUACGCUUUUAACUCUUCAAAAAAAAUUGUUCAACCCUUUUCCAAAAUGAUGAAAUCACGCAUGAAAAAAUUUAAGAAUCAAACCUCACUUGUCGGUCGAGUUGGUUGAACAGAAAAUUGAGUAAAAUAUUGGUCUAGAAUAAGAGAUUAGACCAAUUGAAUCGAGUGAUAAAUUGAUUUUUUUAUAUUUUUAAUAUUUUCAAAAGUUUAUAUAAUUCAACCGAAAUGAACUAAUAAACCAGAAAUGAGAGUCUAAUCGAUUCAAUGACCCACUUAAUAACAUCUAUAAACUCCAUUUAAUAACAUUUAAUAUACCUGUCCUGCUGAUGUGAUUGUAGCUCUUUCACGUAAGCUGGGGUGAUAACAGUGUCGUCGAUGAACCUUUUGAUUGCCAUCAUGAACUUUUCGCCAUUUUUUCUCGAGCUUGUAAGCAAGAACACGAAAAGGUAAUUAAUACACAAAAAAUAAUAACAAGAAUAAGAAUCAAACCAGACUUGUAGGCUAGGAAGCACAGACACGGCUCAUCCCUCCUCGUACUAGUGUCGUACGUGUGUCCGACACAGACACUCGACAGACAUACCUAGAUACGUAUGGGACAAGCUGGAAUAUGUCAAAAAAAUAUUUUUUUUAUUGCCAUAUCUUGCUAUAUCCGUGUCCUCCAUUUUUAAAAAUUAUCAUGUUGCCGUGUUUGUAUCGUGUCGUACCCGUAUUGCGUGUCUGUAUUCAUGCUUCACAGCUUGUAGGUAAGGGCUGAACAAAGAAUCGAGUAAGGCACUGGUCUAAAAUAAGGAGUUAGACCAAUUGAAUGCAGUUAUUGAAUCGAUUUUCUUUAUAUUUUUAAUAUAUCUUUAAUAUUUUUAAAAUUUUAUAUGAUUGAACCGAGUGGUUAAUCAAUAAAAAUUGAGAGUAUAAUCGAUUCAAAAAAAACCUUUUUAACAUAUAUAAACUCCAAAAAAAUAUUCUUUUUUAAAUUCCUUAACUUACCUGUCCUGCUGAUGUGAUUCUGGCUUUUUAACAGUGUUGUUGGUGAACCCUGCGGUUGCCUCCAUGAACUUUUUGUCAUCGUUCGAUCUUGUAAGCAAUUCAAGAACACGAAAAGGUAAUUGGUUUUCCAACAAGAACAGAUCCGAGUACUCAAAUGUCAGCAGUUCGUUUUUAAUAGACAAUUCGUUUGACACAUACUCAUAAUCUUGGCCAUCAACAUCAUCAUUACCGUAACGCAUAUAAACUGCUUGUAAAAUUGUGCAGCCGUCAACGAAGAACAUCCAAGCCAGAUUCUCGUUAUCGUUGGUAUAGUUAUCUAAUUCCUUUGGAUCAUAGCAUUUCUUCAAGUCAUCGAUCUCCGUCUUAAUGUUGUUGUACAAGGUUCCCCUAUCGACUCCAAUGUUUUUGACGAAAAGUGUUGUUAAUUUGCACUUGAGCUUCUUGGAUUCAUGGAGGGAGGGAUCAGCGUGGUGGAGUGGGCCGAUUGAGAUCACUUUCGGCUUGAAAUACUUCCUGAAAUCUUCGUGACGGCCAAGGGUUGAUGGGACUCUUCGAAUCAAUGGUUUGGCUUUGGGGUCGAGUUGGUUGCCGUCGAAAGCUUCGUCUAAUGACCGGAAAUUCUCUAAUUCGCCAUUGCUGAGAGUGAGCUCCGUACCCGGCAUUGGAAUGAUCGUCUCUUGGGGAUUGUUGGUGGUGGUGUUUUUGGUGAUUGUUUGAUCAGUGGAAACUGCUCCGCCGGGAACUCCGACGGCGCGGCCUCCUUUCUCCGUGGACGACAUUUUCAGGCUGAGGGGUUCCAAAAAAGGUGAUUUUGGAAACUGUUUUUCGCUGAGUGAGUGAUGUUGGAAAAAAGGUGGCAAAAUGGCUACGAUGACGACGAGUGUUUCAAUAGCUUAUAGAAUAAACGUAUGGAAAAUAUUUUGGUGUAAUAUUAAAUUUAGACUUAAUAUUUAUAUUUUUUUAAUUUGAUUUUUAUUCUUUUUAAUUAAAUUUAAUUCUCUACCUUUUGAAAGAGUCAAAUUUAAUUACCAAUCUUUUAGAAAAGAGUUGAAUUAAUGUUUUUUAACGAAAAUAGUGGUUAAAAUAUUAAUUUGUAAACAUGACAAUUCAUAUGGUAAUCCACGUGUACAUUUUUUUUUUAAUUAUUUGUUGACAUGUGACAUAUAAGAAAAGCAGUGUUAUGUUAGCACGAAGUGCACAUGGAUUGCCAGACGAGUUGUAACACCAACACUAUUAAAAAUUUAAAGUUUUAGUCAACAUUUUUGUUAAAGAAAAACAAUUUGACUCUUUUUCGAAAGGUUAAUGACUAAAUUUAGCUCAAAUAAUAAUAAUAAUAAUAAUAAUAAUAAUAAUAGAAUAGAGGCCAAUUUGACAAAAAAAUGUAAAUAUCGAGGACUAAAUUUAUCCCUAUGUCAUUCUUUUUAAGGUUAACUUAUAUGAAUACAAUAUAGGUUCAAGUACAAAUAUAUGUAUGGAUUAAUCUAGAAAGAACUGGACAAAAUCCACACAUGAUAUACGCAUAUAAUGAGAGUGAGAACCACACAUCACAAUUGAGAAUAAUAAUAUAGAACCUAAAUACUCAGAGACUUAAAACCUUCGCAUUAACCAAAAAGUUAAGAUCCCAUCAUAUGAAGAAUUUUAUAUCUACAUACUACAAUAUUUCUCGGAUUUCAUACGCUAAUACUAACUCUUCAAAUAUAUUCAUUUUUCAUUUUAUUGCUUAAAGUUAUUUUGAUUUACUUUAGUAUUUAAAUUAUCAUUCUGUUAUACGAUUUAUUCCAAACAUUUAACAUCAUCAAAAAAAUAUUAGGUGGUACGUUUAGUCAAUAAGAGCGUGACACAUUAUGUUAAAUAUUUGGGGUUAAUUGUGUGAUGAGAUGAUAAUUUAUAUAUCACAAUGAAUUUAAAAUUUAAAAUAUCAUUAUUAAAAAAAUUAAAUUUUAAAAAUUAAAUUGAGUACAAAAUCAUUUUAAAAUUAUGAGUAAAAAUAUAGUUUGAGAUAAUGCAAUUUUAAGUAUUUCAAUUUAUUUAAUCAUGAUUAUAUACUUACCUAUGUAUCAUAUCAAAUAUCAUGAUUCUCUAACAUUAUUAAAAUUAAACAAUUAAAGCAUGCAAAUAUAUAGAUAAUGUUUUUUUUUUAAAGUAUAAUGUAUAUAUUUGUAAUACUAAUGCUAAUUGUACUUUGCCAAGUCACUAGGUAUGGUAUUUGAUCUUACUUUUCUUUUUUCUCUAGUAGGGAGCCACUCUCAUGACUUUAUUAAAGGAUUUGGGUUACGUUGGCUGCUCCAACAUACUAUUCCUUUAAUGAGAUAAAUUAAUGUAGUUGAUUUUGUAUUAUUUCAAUCAUAUCGGUCCGUACAUAUUGUUUCAAUAAAAAAUCGAAACAUUCAAUUUUAUUUUCUGCACAAGAGCGACGGGAAAGGGGCAAGUAGGGAUUGGAAAAUUGCUUUUUAUUUUUCAAUGUAUAAAAUUUUAAAUUAUAAUGGUAAAAUUAUACUUUGGCCUCUAAUAAAUCACAAGAUUUUAAUUUAGUCUUUUAAAAAAUUAUAAAAAUAUUAAUUAAUACAAUGAUGAAAUUGGGUCUUAACUCUUAUCAAAAUUCAUAACUUAAUUUCAGUUCCUCAAAAAAAUUUUCUAACUUCACCCUUUUUUCUACACUAGUAAAAAUUCUAAUCUAUAUCAACUGCACUGAUCAAAACAUUGUACAUUGAUUGGUAUAUAAAAGAUAUUUAAUAUAUAUAUAUAAAUACUAUUUCUUUUACCAAUUUUAAACUUUAACUAAAUUAAAGUAGAAACUUUAAUAUUUUAAGUAGAAAACAAAAAAAAAAAAAGAGAUUUUAUUUAACAAAUAAGCCAAUGAAAAGAAAAAGUGGAAAUAUAAAUUUUAUUAAACUUUAACUUUUUAAAGUAUAUGAGUGAUAUUAAAAAUACAUAUAAAAAUAUUAUUUCUUUUACCAACUUUAAACUUUAACUAUUUUAACUAAAUUAAAGUACAAAAUAAAAAAAUAAAGAAUUUAUUUAAUAAAUAAGCCAAAGAAAAAAAGUGGAAAUAUAAAAUCUCUAAAAGCUUAAUCAACACACAUUGAGGUGUACACUUUUAUUAAGCUUUAAUUUUUUUAGUAUGAGAUGAUGUUGUUGUGGAUAUUUAAAAAUAAUAUUAUGGAUAACUUUUUAUUUAAUGUAUUGCUUGGUUCUUUUUUCUUUUAGAUUUGUUGAAUGAUGAAUGAUGAAUUUUAUUUCUGAAGUUUUUUAUGAAUAUAUACAAUUGAUUAAUAUUUUUUAUAUUUAAAGUUUAUUUAAUUUUUUAUAUAUUAAAUAUUUUAAAGUUUUAUCAAUAAUUUUGAAAAGAUGUAUAAAAACAGGCUAGUACUAAUAUGUAUUAGUUUUUGUAGAAAAAUUAUGCGCCAUUAAUGUAGUACUAACUACCUUGGAUAAAAAAUUAGUUUGCCCUUGAAUUUGGUAACUUUUCUCAACUUAGUCCUUAAACUUUUAUUUCAUCUACAUUAGUAUUAUAACUUGACAACUUUUCUUAAUUUUGAUGCAUGUGAUGACACAACACUCUGAUAUUGUGUCAUUCUUUAAAAACAAUAUUUUUAAUAAAAAUUAGGUGUUGACAUGCCAGAAAUGUCACCAUAAUGACCAAAAAUGAGAAAUAUUGUCAAAAUUCAUGACCGAUGUAGAUAGUGGGGAAGCCAGGGGGUUGAAAGGGCCCUAAAAAAAAUGAAAAAAAUUCAUUUAGGCCCUUUUAUAAUUUAUAAAAUUUUAAAUUAGUAAUGGUAAAAUUACAUUUUGCCCCUCAAAAAUGACAAAAAAAAUUGAUUUAAUCCUUUAAAAAUGAUAAAUAUAUAUACCAUUAAAAUGGUGAAAUUACAUUGUUAUUAUCGUAAAAAUAUACAACUUAAUUUCAAAGAUUCUUUAAUUCGCCAUUUCUGAGAGUGAAGUCCGUACCCGGCAUUGGAAUGAUCAUCUCUAGGAGAUUGGUGUUGGUGGUGAUUGUUUGAUCAGUGGAAACUACUCCGCCGGGAGAUCCGACGGCGCCGCCUCCUUCCUCCGUGGAUGACAUUUUCAGGCUGAGCAACAAGGUGAUUUUGAAAACUGUUUUUGGCUGAGUGAGUGAUGUUGGAAAAAAGGUGGCAAAAUGGCUACGAUGACGACAAAUGUUUCUAUAGCUUAUAUUAUAGAAAAUACUUUCGGUGUAAUAUCAAAUUUAUCCUUUAAUAUUUAUAUUUUUUUCCAAUUUGAUUCUUAUUAUCUCUAGUUAAAUUUAGUUCUCUACGAGUCAAAUUUGAUUACCAAUCUUUUAGAAAAGAGUCAAAUUAAUAUUUUUUAACUAAAAUAGUGACUAAAAUGUUAAAUUUCUAAAAACGACAACUCACAUAGCAAUCUACAUGUACAUGUUUUUAUAUUUUUUAUUAACGUGACAUAUAAGAAAAGCAAUAUUAUGUUAGCAUCAAGUGCACAUGAAUUGCCACACAUUUAAGAUGUUAGCUUAUAGUGUCAAUUAGGCAACGCAUUUAAGAUGUGUAACAAAAUUGUUCUUUUUUUUGUAAGUUAAUCCUUUUUCUAAAUAUAAAAAAUAUUUUACUAAAUUAAUCCAUUUAAUGGUAAAUUAAUUAAUUUAAUCAAAUCCAUAUAAUAUAAAGAUCUCUCAAAUAUAUCCUCAUAAAAUUACUUUCUUUGAAAUACAGACGGAAUAAACUAGACUUAUAGUUAUAUAUAUAAUAUAUAUAAUUUUAUAAUACUAAUGAGAAUUGAACUUUGCCAAGACAUUAAGUUUGGUAUUUGAUCUUACUCUACUUUUUCUCUAGUAGGAGCCACCCUCACGACUUUACCAAAGGAUUUAGUUCCAUUGGCCGCUCUUUUUAAUAUUAAGGAUUCAGUUUUUUGAAGAAAAAUGGUGCAUCCAUUAGUGUAGUACUAACUAAUUUUUAAUAAAAAUUUGGUGUUAAUAUGGGAGAAAUGUCACCAUAAUGACCAAAAAUGAGAAAAAUUACCAAAAUUCAUGAUUAAUGUGGACAAUAGGGAAGCCAGGGGCUGGCAAGAUCCCAAAAAUGACAAAAUUUUUAUUUAGGCUCUUUUAUAAUUUAUAAAACUUUAAAUUAAUAAUGAUAAAUUUAUAUUUUGUCUCUAAAAAUGAUAAAAAUUGAUUUAAUAAUUUAAAAAAUAGAAAGAUAUAGACUAUUAAAUGGUAAAAUUAUAUUUUUAUUAUUGUAAAAAUAUACAAUUUAAUUCCACCUAAAAAAAAUAUUUUUUGCCUUGACCCCUAAAUAUGGACAAAAAAAAGAAAGUCUACAGAUCAAAUUGAAAAAAGUUACCAAAUUUAAGGAUUAAAUGUUGUCUUAUUAUUUUAUUUAACUAAAAUUGUAUCAUAUACACCAAAGUCUCGUAAUUGAAUAAUAAAAAUUCAAUAUUUUUAAAGUAAAUCUUGAAUUCAAAUACUAUGAAUAGAGAAAAAUAUUAUAAAUUAACUAAUUCAAUAUUAUGAAUUGAGUAAUAAAAAUCGAGUGCAAAACCUACGAUGCCACCAUGGUUUUAGUUUAGUCAUUUAAAAAAUUAUAAAUAUAUUAACUAAUACAAUGAUGAAAUUGGGUCUUAACUCUUAUCAAAAUUUAUAACUUAAUUUCGAUUCCUCAAAUGAAUUUUUCGACUUCACCCUUAUUUCUGCAUUAGUAAAAAUUCUAAUCUAUAUCAAUUGCACUUAUCAAAAUAUUGUACAUUGACUGGUAUAUAAAAGAUAUUUAUAUAUAUAUAUAUAUAGGUUGUAAAUUUUCUUGGCUGGAAGCUCACUGGAAGCCAAAAUCAAAACAAACUUUUGAUGGUUUAAUUGUUUUUUAGCCCUUCAAUUUCAGGUGCUAUGAGAAAUGGAUUACAACCUUAUCUUGUCAUUGUCCCAAAAUCAAAACAAGCAACUCUUGGUUGAAAGUUGAAACCAAGGGCCCCCAAGUCAAAAUUGUUUUAGGAUAAGUCCAAAAUGAAUAAUGAAUUUGAAGGUUCAAAAUAAAAUUUUAUUAAUAUAUUAAUUUAUAAUUUCAUAAAUUUUAAAAGGAUUAAAUGAUAAAUUUACUAAUUUAAGAAGACAAUAGGGAUGGUCAAAUCUAAUUGAACCUAUCUGCGAUCGGAUCGGGAUGGAUUUUUUUAAUUUAAAAAAUUAAAUAGAUUUAUUCGAGAGUUACAAAAUUCUGAUAAAUAACAAGAGUUUACAAAAAGUACACUUACUUUGGUUGAUGUAUGGUCUAAUAAGCCUGCAAGCAGCAAUGGCACCCACAAAUGCGAAAAACGUCCAACGAGUCCUAAAAAAAGGACGGUAAACUUGAGCUGGAUAUCUAAUCCACAUAUUGUUAUGAUGAUCAUGUAUUUGCAGUUUAACAUGCCUGUAAAUCAUCGGGCUAGGAACCUAAUCAAUAUUCAUCUUCUUGAUAAGCUUAGCCACUUCUUUAUCACUCCCAAAUCUAUUGUAUAGUAUGCCGGCGUCUCUCAGUUCCUUAACAUCUUCGGCUUCAUCGAUCAAUGAAUCAAGGAAACCCAUAUAUGAAGUGACGGCGAAAUUGUUGUGGAAAUCUGGACACAUUUCGUAAGCUAUUAAGUUCAUGGUUGAAUCAUCGACGGUGAUCGGCGGUAACCGUAAUUUCCGGACGAAGAAGUAGCGACGUUUGAAACUGAUGUCGGUUAAACAACUUGUUUCACUUGCUUCUAACCAUAUCCCGGCGCUUUUAAGCUCUUUUACGUUACCAAAAGGGUGUGAAUGGUGCCGUUUUGUUCUUGUAUGGCCACUGCGAUUUGUGAAGGAUAUGAAAACCUACAAUCACCUGGUUUUUCUUUAUUGAAAAGGAGUCUUACUCGUAGUAGAUGCAAUAAGUGAAUUCCCUCUCCUUGCUGCGGCCACCAUUCACUAGUGCAAAAUAUGUGUUAGUCGGGAGCCAGCUAAAAUUAAGGUUUUCAAUGGUUGAAUCAAAUCAUUAUUAUUUUAAUAAAAAAUAUUUAAAUUAUUAAAUUAUAAAUUUAUAUACAAUAAAACUAUACUUUGACUCCUCAAGAUGAAUAAAAAAUUGUUCAAACACUUUUUAAAAAUAAUAAAAUCAUAAAUUAAUACAUAAAAAAAAUCUAAGAAUCAAACCAUACUUGUCGAUCGGCCUAAUUAGACAGAGGAUCGAGCAAGGUACUAAUCCAGAAUAAUAAGUUUAAUCCAUUGAAUUCAAUCAUCAAAUCGAUUUUUUUUUAUAUUUUUAAUAUACCUUUAAUAUUUUUUAAUAUUUUAUAUAAUUGAAUUGAAUCAACUAAUCAACCGAAAAUGAGACUCUAAUCGAUUCUAUCACCUAUAUAUGUAGUUGUAAAAUCCUUUUAACAUUUAUAAAUGAUUCUUUUAUAAAUUCCUUAAAUUACCUGUCCUGCUGAUGUGAUUGUGGCUCUUUAACAGUACCGUCGAUGAACCUUAUGACUGCCUCCAUGAAUUUUGUGCCAUCGUUCGAUCUUGUAAGCAAUUCAAGAACACGAAAAGGUAAUUGGUUUUCCAACAAGAACAGAACCGAGUACACAAAUGUUAGCAAUUCGUUUUUAAUAAAAAUUCGUUCGACGUACGACAACAAUCUUGGCCGUAAAGCAUAUAAACUGCUUGUAAAAUUGCGCAGCCGUCAACGAAGAACAUCCAAGCCAGUUUCACGUUAUCGUUGCUACACUUCUUUAAUCCCUUUGGAUCAUAGCAUUUCUUCAAGCCAUCGAUCUCUGUCUUCAUGUUGUUGUACAAGGUUUCCUUAUCGACGCCAAUUUUUUUGACGAAAAGUGCUGCUAAUUUGAGCUUGAGCUUCUUGGAUUUAUGGAGGGUGGAAUCAUUGUGGUGGAGUGGGCCGAUUGAGAUCACUUUCGGCUUGAAAUACUUCCUGAAAUCUUCGUGACGUCCAAGGGAUGAUGGGACUCUUUGUAUCAAUGGUUUGGCAUGGAGGUCGAGUUCGUCGCCGUCGAAAGCUACGUCUAAUGACCGGAGAUUCCGUAAUUCGCUAUUGCUGCGAGUGAAGUUCUCUAGGGGAUUGUUGUUGUUGUCGAUGAUUGCUUGAUCAGUGGAAACUGCUCCCACGGCGCCGCCUCCUUCCUCCGUGGAGGACAUUUUCAGGCUGAGCGGUUGGAGGUAAUAAACAAGGUGAUUUUGUAAACUGUUUUAGGCUGAGUGAGUGAUGUUGGAGAAAAGGUGGCAACAUGGCUACGAUGAUGACAAAUAUUUUAUAGCUUACAUAAUAAACAUAUAUGGGAAAUACUUAAGGCGUUAGUGUUUAUAUUUUUACUAAUAUAAUUUUAAUUUUUUAAUUAAAUUUAAUUCUCUUUUGAAAGAGUUAAUGAUAAAAAAGAAAAGUUAAAUUAAUGCUUUUUAACAAAAAUAGUGACAAAUAUUAAAAUUGAGAACAACAUUAUAGAACCUAAAUACUCAACACAACCCAAAACUUUCGCCUUAACCAAGAAAUUAAAAUCCUAUCUGAGGGAGAAUUUUAUAUCUGUAGCACUUCCUAAAUUUCAUUAGCUUAAUAAUAGCUAUUCAAAUAUAUUUUUUUCAUUUUAUUACUUAAAAAUUAUUAUUACUUACUUAAAUAUUUAAAUUAUCAUUAUAUUACAUGAUUUACUCCAAAUAUUUACAUAUAGUAAUUGCGUUUGUAAUUCUACCUAACUCAUGAAAAAUCUCAAAUUUGCAACAUGUUAUUCACAUGCCAACCAAAUCUACAAUUUCACCUUGUAAACUGUUUUUGGCCGAUUUGAGUGAUGUUGGAAAAAAAGUGGCAAAUUUCAUCUCUUAUUUUAUUUUGUGUGGUACUUGUAGAUCAGAGUGUUGAUUAUAUCACGAGUAUUCUGUGACAGAACACCUACGUGGAGGACAACGAUUCGACACUUACUGUCAUAUUUGUGUCGCCUGGAAUUUAAUUCUCAAUGGGCAGUUUUUUUUAUAAAAUAACUUGAAAUUUUUUAUUAAUUAUAAAAAUGAUAUUUUGUUUAUGUAAACAAUAAAUAGUAAAAAUGAAUGGAUUUAAAGAGAUUGGCGUGACCUUUUUAUCACGUUAACUAAUCAUUAACUAUUAAAAUUAAAAUUUUAUUUUUUUAAUGAACCUAUUUCGCGUCACAUGUGGUAGAAAAUAAUCUAAGAAAGGCAUGCACUAAUCAAUUGUUUUAAGUAUUAAUAUUUACGGAUAAAGUAAUAUUUAAUUAUCUGAAUAUUUUAUAUUAGGGACCAAGUUAUAAAAAGUUUAGAAGUUGAAGUUGAAUUAUGUAUUUUUAUACAAGUUAAAAUACAAUUUAAUCAUAUUAGUUUGUAAUUUUACAUAUUUUAAAGGGAUUAGAUUAAAAUUUUAUCAUUUUGAAGGCUGAGAUGCAAUUUUACUUUAUGUAUUAACAUGUGGAAUUAUAAUUUUUAAAGGCACCCAAAACAUAAAUUUUUCCUAGAAAAAUUACUCAAUAAGCUAUGGAAUUAAUUUUUCCUUGGCUACAUGUAACAACAUUUCUGUUAAAUAAAAGCAACUUUAAUCUGCACCAAAGGGAAGCAACAGAGAUCUAUUGUGACAACUAAUCUACGGUUGCAAUUGUAAAGAAUCCAGUGUUCUAUAGGAAGACAAAACUCUUCAAGAUUAAGUUCCAUUUUGUUAGGGAGAUGGAGCAAGCUCGAGAAGUAGAGCUGAUUCAUUGCAAUUCGAAAGAACAAUUGGCAAACAUCUUGACAAAGCCACUUAGUGUGUCAAGGUUCGACAAAUUAAGACAGCAAAUGGGAGUUUGCAGCAUGGAAGCCAAGGAGGAGUGUUGAAGUUGGCCUCCAUACAGCUCAUGCAGCAAGGAGCAGCAUAUGCAGUCGAGCCAAGCUUGCAGCAGCUGAAGCACGAUGCUACUGUUAAGUUUCAUUUUCAUUUUGUUACUCUAAUGAUCAUUUUUGAAUCAAAUUAGAUUUGAACUUAGUUGGUAACUCCUUCUUGAUGUAAUUAGGUGUUGAUUGACUGAAAAUUCAGCAAAGCAACAUGUACAAGUUAAUUUAGCAAGUUUCAAUGUAAUUUAGUGGUGUUAGGCAGUUGCUUAGGUGAAAACUUGUUUGUAUUGACCAGCUUGUCUGGUAUAUGUAAUGGCUUAAUGCCUUUGUUCAUGUUAGUUAAUGAAAAUCAAUUAGUUUUCAUCCAGCUACUCUCCAUUUUUCUUUGCUUUCAAUUCGGUUAUGUUCUUAAGCAAAUUUCUGCUUUGUUUCUUCUCUAAGUCACGAGUCUUGCUGUUCAAGUCAUAGCUGAACUAGCUUGCUUGUUGUUCAUAAUACCAACAACCUGCUCUCGGCUGGGUUGAUAACAGUAUCAUCGAUGAACCUCCGGAUUGCAUUCAUGAACAUUUUGCCAUCACCCAAGCUUGUAAGCAAUUCAAGAACACGAAAAGGUAAUAGGUUUUCCAACAAGAACAGAUCCGAGUACAGAAAUGUCAGCAAAUCUUUUUUAGUUAACAAAUUACCAUCAUCAUCAUCAUUAUCAUAACGCAUGUAAACUGCUUGUAAAACUGCGCAGCCGUCAACGAUGAACAUCCAAGCCAGUUCCUCGUUAUCGUCUCUAUACUUCUCUAAUUCCUGUGGAUCAUAGCAUUCCUUCAAGCCAUCCAUCUCUUUCUUAAUUUUGCUGUACAAGGAUUUCUUAUCGACGCCAAUUUUUUUGACGAAAUGUGCUGCUAAUUUGAGCUUGAGCCCCUUGGAUUCACGGAGGGUGAGAUCAUCGUGGUGGAGUGGGCCGAUUGAGAUCACUUUUGGCUUGAAAUACUUCUUGAAAUCUUCGUUACGGAGAAGGGUUGAUGGGACUUUUCAUAUUAAUGGUUUGUAUCUGAGGGUGGGUUGGCCGCCGCCGAAAGCUUUGUCUAAUGACUGGAGCUUCGCUACUUCGCCAUCGCUGAGAGGGACGUCCGUGAACCGCAAAUCAAUUCCCACGUAAUCGUUGUUGGUGUUGUUGUCGAUGAUUGUUUGAUCAGUGGAAACUGCUCCGGCGGCGCCGCCUCCUUCCUCCGUGGACGACAUUUUCAGGCUGACCGGCUCGAAGUAAUUAACAAGGUGAUUUUGAAAACUGGUUUUGGCUGAUUGAGUGAUGUUGGAAAAAAGUGGCAAAAUGGCUACGAUAAUGACAAAUGUUUCUAUAGCUUACAUAAAGAGGCGAAUAUAGGGAAAUGUAAAAUUGUUAUUUAGGCCCUUAACUUUUUUAAAAUUUCAAAUUAGUAAAGGUAAAAUUAUACUUUGGCCUCAUAAAAUUAUAAAAAUUCAAUUUAAUCUUUUAAAAAUUAUAAAGAUAUAGACUACAAAAAAUUAAAAUUUCAUUCGAUCCACCCUAAAAAAUUAUUCGGGCUUUGCCACUGCUUACAUAAUAAACAUAUGGAAAAUACUUUUGGUGUAAUUCAAAUUUACCCCUUAUUAUAGUCAAUUUAAUUUUCAUUUUUUAAAUUUAAUUUUCUAUCUUUUGGAAGAGUCGAAUUUAAUUAUCAAUUUAAAUUAAUGUUUUUUAACGAAAAUAGUGACUAAAAUAUUAAAAUGUUAAACAUGACAACUCAAACAGCAAUCCACAUCUAUAUUUUUAUUUUUAUUUUUUAUUUUUAAAUUAUUUAUUGAUGUGACAUAUAAUAAAAGUAUUGUUAUGUUAGCAUGAAGUACGCAUGAAUUGCCACACUAGUUGUGACACCAAUAUCGUUAAAAAAUUAAUAUUUCAAUUAGCAUAUCUGUUAAAGAAAACCAAAUUGACUCUUUUUUAAGAGGUUAAUGGCUAAAUUUAGCACAAAUGAAAAAAAAAUAAAGGCCAAUUUGAUAAUAAAAAAAAAGGUAAAUGUCAAAAGUUAAGUUUAUCAUUUAUACAAGUAUAAAUAUAUGUCUGGAUUAAUCUAGAAAGAACCAGACCAACUCUACACGUGAUAUACAAAUGUGACGAGAGUGAAAUCUACACAUCACAAUUGAGAAUAAUAUUAUAGAAAUACUCAAACCUUCCCCUUAACCAAGAAGGUAAGACGCUAUGGAUAAUUUUAUAUCUACAACACUUCAUGAAUUUUGUUGCGGAAAGGAUCGAUUCGAGAACUCCGAUAUGACUACAAGUAAAUUGACCGAAACGAAAAAUAAAGUGAACACAAGGAUUUACGUGGUUCGGCUUUAAUGCCUACGUCCACGGGCAGAGGCGAAAAGAAAUUUCACUAUAACAAGAUGAAGAUUACAAGUGUUUUACACUCAAGACACAACCCGAGAACCUCACAACUCUCAACCCCUAUAGAAAACCCGAAAGCUAAAAUCCUAGCUUUCAAAGAACAAGCUUUGCUCUCUCUUUGUUUGGGAUGAUCAAUAUGGCUAAUGAACCUCUCUAUUUAUAAGAGAGUUCAAGGACAUAAUUGUCCAAAACUUUGGCAAAGAUUUGUGGUUGAAAAUGGACACCAACAACCAUCCACUAAUCCACUACCACCAACAACCCACUACCAACAACAACAAUCCACUACCAAUUUUAAGCCAUUUCUUAACAAAUCUCCACCUUGGCUUGAAAUUUACCAAGCUGAACAUCAUAGUGAAUUCCUCGAACUGGAUCACCUCUUCCAAACGCCUCUCUGGCGCUAAUCAAUCCUGAAUACCUAUCAAGUCCAAGCAAUGCUUGAACUUAUAUGCAGGGAUCACCUUAGUUAACAUAUCUGCAGGAUUCUUCUCGGUAGCAACCUUGCUGAUAACAAUGUCACCUUGCGUAACAUGUUCCCGAACAAAAUGAUAUCUGACAUCAAUGUGUUUGGUCCGUUCAUGAAACAUCUGAUUUUUAGUCAGAUGUAUGGCACUCUGGCUAUCGCAAAAUACAACAGUGAAAUCCUGUUGUAAACCCAAACUGCUUACUAGACCUUUCAUCCACAAUGCUUCUUUCACUGCUUCUGCUAACGCCAUAUAUUCCGCCUCAGUCGUAGAUAAGGCUACGGUAGACUGUAACACAGCUUUCCAACUAAUGGCUCCUCCAGAAUAAGUGAAAACAUAACCCGUCAGAGAUCUUCUUUUGUCCAGAUCUCCAGCAUAAUCAGAGUCCACAUAGCCCGUGACACUGCUAGUGCAGUCACUCUGAUCAUAUACCAAGCAUAAAUCUGCAGAACCUCUCAAGUACCUGAGAAUCCAUUUCACGGCCUGCCAGUGUUCCUUGCCAGGACAACUCAUGUAUCUGCUGACCACACUAACUGCAUGUGAAAUGUCUGGACGAGUGCAAACCAUUGCAUACAUCACGCUUCCAACUGCACUCGAGUAUGGAAUGUGAGACAUUUGCUGCUUUUCUUCAUCAGAUUGUGGUGACAACUCUGCAGAGAGUUUGAAAUGUGGUGCCAACGGAGUACUCACAGUUUUCGCUUUAUCCAUGCCGAAGCGUUGAAGAACCUUUUCAAUGUAGUUCUUCUGCGACACACGAAGCUUGCCCGCCUUGCGAUCUCUGUGAAUAUCCAUGCCCAAAAUUUUCUUGGCAGCACCCAGAUCCUUCAUCUCGAACUCACCACUCAACUGCGACUUUAACUUGUUGAUUUCCGACAUGUUUUUGGAAGCAAUUAACAUGUCAUCAACAUACAGCAACAAAUAAAUGUGCGAACCAUCUGAGAGCUUCCGAUGAUAGACACAAGCAUCAUAGUCACAUCUUGUGUAACCAUGCUGAAUCAUGAAGCUAUCAAACCGCUUGUACCACUGCCUUGGGGAUUGUUUCAAUCCAUAUAAAGACUUCUUUAAUAGACAGACAUGGUCUUCUUUACCAGGAACUGUAAAACCCUCUGGUUGACGCAUGUAGAUUGUUUCCUCGAGCUCACCAUGCAAGAACGCCGUUUUUACGUCAAGCUGCUCAAGUUCUAGAUCAGACUUGGCCACCAUGGCAAGUAAUACACGAAUGGAAGAAUGCUUUACGACUGGGGAGAAAACUUCAUUGUAGUCAAUCCCCUCUUUCUGAGUGAAGCCUUUAGCAACCAAUCGUGCCUUGAAUCUAGUUGCUUCAACCCCUAGGAUGCCUUCCUUUUUCUUGAAGACCCAUUUGCAACCAACUAUCUUCUGGUUACUUGGCGGCUUAACCAACUCCCAAGUAUGGUUCUUGUGAAGAGAUUCUAUCUCCUCACUCAUAGCAAUUGCCCACUGUGCCGACUCAUCACACGUGACAGCCUCAUUAUAACUGGAAGGUUCUAUACCAAUGGACUCCGCCACACUGAGCGCGAAAGACACCAGAUUAGCGUAACGCGGAUUUGGUUUGAUUUGUCUCUUCGUUCUUCCAGUGGCAAUGCUAUAUGGUUUUUCUUGAGGUGACUCAUCUUCAUCGGAAUCUUGCACCUCAACUUGAUCAUCCUGGACUGAAGUACCUUCCGUAGGAAUUGGAGCGUCCACCUGACACUCCACCUGCUUCUCAACACCGUGAUCUCCCAUUCUAUCUGACUCCUCCUUUUCCCGGGAAUUUGUGGUGGAUCGAAGCAUGGAUGACUCAUCAAAAGUCACAUCUCUGCUGAUGAUGAACUUGGACGAAACCGGAUCAGGACACCACAACCUGUAUCCUUUCACCCCUUGGCCGUAUCCAAGAAAUAUGCAUUUCUUCGCCCUCGGUUUGAGUUUUCCCUCAUUUACAUGAGCAUACGCAGGGCAGCCAAACACUCUUAAACCAGAGUAAUCAGCAGGAGAACCAGACCAUACUUCCUCAGGAGUCUUCAGCUCAAUAGCUGUUGACGGAGAUCUGUUAACCAAAUAACAAGCAGUAUUAACAGCUUCAGCCCAAAAUUCUUCACCGAGCCCAGCAUUUGAUCGCAUGCAACGAGCUCGCUCCAAGAGAGUUCUAUUCAUGCGUUCUGCAACUCCAUUUUGUUGUGGUGUUCGACGAACAGUGCGGUGUCUCACUAUUCCUUCAUUUUUGCAGAACUCAUUGAAUUCACCUGAGCAAAACUCCAAGCCAUUAUCCGUCCGGAAUCGCUUGAUCUUCUUUCCUGUUUGAUUUUCGAUCAAAGCUUUAAAUUGCUUGAAGUUGAUGAGAACCUCAUACUUGCUCUUCAGAAAAUACACCCAAACCUUUCUCGAGUAAUCAUCGAUAAAGGUAAGCAGAUAUCUGUAACCACCUUUAGAAAUUGUCGGAGAAGGCCCCCAAAGGUCAGAAUGGAAGUAAUCCACUGUGCCUUUUGUCUUGUGAAUCCCAGUGCUGAACUUUACCCGAGUCUGCUUACCGAAGACGCAGUGCUCACAGAAAUUCAACUUUCCUGUACACUGCCCAGACAAUAAUCCUCGUUUGCUUAGCACCGAUAAGCCUCUCUCGCUCAUAUGCCCGAGCCGCAUAUGCCAUAACUUCGUGGUGUCAGAAUCUAGAUCAUCUGAUGAUGACACUCCCGCAACACCUGUAACCGAGGAACCAUCGAGGAAGUAAAGGCCCCGCUCCAAAUUACCACGUAUCACAGUCAAAGCACCCGAGAAUACCUUGAGAACUCCACCUUCAGCAGAGUACCGAAAGCCUUUCUUGUCCAACGUACUCAAAGAGAUCAAAUUUUUCUUCAUUUCUGGAAUGUGCCGAACAUCAGUUAGAGUUCUAACAAUACCGUCAAACAUCUUUAUACGAACUGUGCCAAUCCCCAUGACUUGACAUGCGUGGUCAUUUCCCAUUAGUACUGAACCAGAAUGCUUCUCGUAUGUUGAGAAUGCAUCUUUCGAAGUACUUAUAUGAAAUGUAGCUCCCGUAUCAAGAAUCCAUCUCCCACCAGCGUAAGAGUCGGAUACUGCAAGAACGAUCUCGGCACCACUUGAAGAAUCUGCAUCAGCUACAUUCGCACGAUCAUUUUGUUGCUCCUGUGAUUCUGAUUUCUCCUUCCUUUUCGGACAAUCUACCUUCAUGUGCCCGUACUUCUUACAGUAGUAGCACUGUAUUCUCUUCUUGGACUGCGAUCUAGGAUGGCUUUUACUUGAACUUCCACCCUUUGCCUUGGAUCUUCCUCGAGCAACCAAGCCUUCGCCUUCAUUGUUUUCGACCACCUUACCAGUGAUUUUCUUCCUCAACUCACUGGAACUUAAGGCAUUUUUCACCUCCUCUAGAGUCAGGUCAUCACGACCGUACAUCAUUGUAUCAACAAAAUUCUCAUACGAGGGAGGCAAAGAACACAAAACAAUUAUUGCUUGGUCCUCAUCAUCGAUUUUGUUAUCGAUAUUAUUCAAAUCCAUGAUAAUGGAAUUGAAUUUAUCCAGGUGCUGGGAAACAGGUGUACCUUCCUCCAUCUUCAGGGCAUAGAGUCUUUGCUUGAGGUAGAGCCGGUUCGUCAAUGACUUCGUCAUGUACUUGCUCUCUAACCGGAGCCACAAACCGGACGCGGUUUUCUCAUCCGCUACUUCUCGUAGCACUUCAUCUCCUAGACAUAGCAGAAUAGCACUAUGUGCUCUUUCUAGCAUGUCAUCCUUUUGCUCUUCCGAAAGCGUGCUUGGUAAUUUAUCUUUACCAGACAAUGCUUUUAGCAAUCCUUGUUGAACCAGCACUGCCCGCAUCUUGAUGCGCCAUAAACUGAAACUAUUUUUCCCGGUAAAUUUCUCGACAUCAUACUUAGUCGAUGAAACACUUGUAGCCAUAAUUUGGAACCUUUGAAUGAAUGAUAAUAUUUUCUUCCUGAUGUGAAAGAUCAGACAAAGCUGCAGUCACAGGGCAAUUCAGAAAAUAUUAUCACUCCUUCAACUACGCUCUGAUACCAAUUUGUUGCGGAAAGGAUCGAUUCGAGAACUCCGAUAUGACUACAAGUAAAUUGACCGAAACGAAAAAUAAAGUGAACACAAGGAUUUACGUGGUUCGGCUUUAAUGCCUACGUCCACGGGCAGAGGCGAAAAGAAAUUUCACUAUAACAAGAUGAAGAUUACAAGUGUUUUACACUCAAGACACAACCCGAGAACCUCACAACUCUCAACCCCUAUAGAAAACCCGAAAGCUAAAAUCCUAGCUUUCAAAGAACAAGCUUUGCUCUCUCUUUGUUUGGGAUGAUCAAUAUGGCUAAUGAACCUCUCUAUUUAUAAGAGAGUUCAAGGACAUAAUUGUCCAAAACUUUGGCAAAGAUUUGUGGUUGAAAAUGGACACCAACAACCAUCCACUAAUCCACUACCACCAACAACCCACUACCAACAACAACAAUCCACUACCAAUUUUAAGCCAUUUCUUAACAAAUUUCAUAUGCUUAAUAAUAGUUUACAAAAAGACUAGUAAAGAACACUUACUUUGGUUGAUGUAUGGUAUAAUAAGUCUGCAAAGCACUAAGAAGAAGUGCAGCAAUGGCACCCAAAAAUGCCAAAAACGUCCAAGGACUCCUAAAAUAAGUAUGAUAACCUUGAGCUGCAUGAUUAAUCCACAUAUUCUUACAAUGAUUAUGUAUUUUCUCUUUAACCCCACUGUAAAUCAUCGGACUAGGAACCAAAUCAGUGUUCAUCUUAUUGAAAAGCUUAGCCACCUCUUCAUCACUCCCCAAUCUAUUGUACAGUAUGCCGGCGUCUCUCAGGUCUUUAACAUCUUCGGCUUCAUCGAUCAAUAAAUCAAGGAAACACAUAUAAGAAGUGACGGUGAAAUCGUUGUCGAAAUCCGGACACAUUUCGUAAGCUAUUAAGUUUAUGGUUGAAUCAUCAACCGUGAUCGGCGGUAACCGUAAUUUUCCGGAGAAGAAGAUAUGGUUGAAACUGAUGUCGGUUAAACAACUUGUUUCGCUUGCUUUUAACGUUAUCCCGGCCUUUUUAAGCUCUUUUACGGUACCAAUGGUGCGUGAAUGGUACCGUUUUGUUGUUUUUGUUCUUGCUGCUGCUUCGCCAAAUCCGCGUUGAGCGAAUUCCCAAAGAAAACACCAGCACCGUAUUCGCACUUUUCUGAGAAGGAGUCUUUGUCGUAGUAGAUGCAAUAAGUGAAUUCGCUCUCCUUCUUUUUGCUGCUUCCACCACCAUUCCCUACACCAAAAUCUGUGUUAGUCGGAAGCCAAGCUAUAAUUUCUCUUUUCUUUUUUUUUUCUUUUUGUUGUUGGAUUUGGAAUUGUUAAUUUAUAUGAAGCUAAAAUUAAGAUUUUCAAAAUAGAUAACCCAACGAUUAAGUUAUUCAAUUUAUUUAAUUUAAUUGAAUAAAUUAAUGGAAUUGUUAAUUUACCGAUUUACUCCUUUAUUUGUCAUUUUUUGUAUCAUUUUUUUACAUUUUUUUAACUAUUAAUAGAAGAAAAUAAAAAGAGAAAAAGAAAAAGGAAAACUCACCGGGGCGUGGCUUCGAACGCCCAUUCUGGCGCUUCGUCGGCCGUCGGAUGCGGCGGCGUUGCGGCGAGCAGGGAGGCGGCGCAACAUGGGGCCUUAAAACCCCAAGAAUCAGAUUUUUAGAGAGAAAAAAAGGAGCUUUUUAGUUUUUUUUUAAAUAGUGGCUGAUAAGGGAUUUUUGGGGAAAAAAGGGGUUUAAAUACCUCAAACAAAAUGGCGCCGAUUAGUUAUUAGGGUCAAGAGCCAAAAUGACGCCAUUUUGGCCCUGACCCGCGCGGUGACCCGACCCUGGGGAAGGAUCCGCAUGUUUUCUUCAAAUGGGAUAUUUGCGUGCGCAGUCCCUACUAUUUUGCAGCGCAUUACAAUCUGGUCCUAUUUCGUUAUUUUCUUUUAUUUUGAUUUAGCCCUAAAAUUUUACUUUUGUUUCACUUUGGUCCACUGCAGCGUUGCGUUUUGGGGUCCUUGGUUUAUUUACCAUUUUGGUCCCCCCUCUUUCGGCGCGUGUCACAAUCUAGUCCUUUUUGUUUUUUUUCAUUUCGAAUUUGCCCAGUAUAUUAGUUUUUACUUCGAUUUAGUCCCUCUUUUAGUACUUUUAUUUUAUUUUUAUUUUUUCAUUAUUUUAAUGUUAUUAUCUUUUGUUACUAUUAUUAUUAUUAUUAUUAUUAUUAUGAUUAUUAUUAGUCCCUCAUUUAUAUAUAUAUUUAUAAUUUCCAAUUUUUCUACAUAUAUACAUGUGCGUGCAUACAUUUUCAUAUAUAUGUAUUUAUAAUUUAUCUAUUUAUAUAAAUAUACAUACUUAUAUAUAUAUAUAUAUUUUAUAAUCUAUAAUUUAUAUAUAUAUAUUUUAUAUACCUAUACGCGUAUAUUCACGCUUACAUAAAACUUUUAUAUUUAAUAAUUUUAAAUAUAUAUAUAUAUAUAUAUCCUUCAUAUUUUCAUAACUUACACAUAUUUUCUGUUUAUUAUAUACAUAUUUUUAUGUUUCACAUUUAUUUUUUAUAUUUUAGGUACAUAUAAUAUAUAUUCAUAUAUUUUAAUUCAUAUACACAUAUAUGUGUACAUAUAUAUAUAUACCCUUUUUACAUAUACAUGUUUUUUUUUUAAUUUUAAUUUUAAUUUUUAUAAGUAUAUAUAUUUAUAUGUAAGUACUUAUAUAUUUUGUAUAUUUUAAUUUGCAUAAACAUAUAUACACAUAUUUUCAAAAUAUUUUUAAACACAUACAUAAAUUAACAUAUUUAUUUGUAUAUAUAUAUGUAUAUUUUUAUUAUUUUUUAGACUUUAAUAUGUACAUACAUAUGUAUAUAGAUAAUUUUGUAACUUAUUUAUAUUUGUAUGUGUAUAUAUAUAAUUAUAUUUUUCUUAUAUAUUUUUAAUUAGCAUACAUAUCUAUAUGUAUUUUAUUUUCAUAAAUAUAUGUAUAUAUACUUACAUGUUCUUUAUAUCCUCAAAUAUGUAUGUUUUCUAUACUUUAUGAUUUAUGUUUAUACCUAUAUAUAUAUGUAUUUUAAUUUAGGUGCAUAUGCAUUUCUUUACAUAUAUAUUUUUUAAGUUUUAUAAUUCAUACAUGUACAUAUAUAUAUUUUUUAUCUAGCUUAAAACCAUUUAUAUAUAUCUAUAUGCAUUUUUAUAAAUACAUGUAUAUAAAAACAUACUUUUAUACAUCUUUUAUAAUAUAUAUAUACUGCAUUUGUGUAUGUAUUUGCUUGUUUUCAUGUUUAUUUACAAUAAUUUUAGAAUGUAUUCAUAUAUAUAUAUAUAUAUAUAUAUAUAUAUAUAUAUCUUUUUACAUUUACAUCAUCUUAUUUAUUUCUUUUGGUUUAUUUCUGUAUUUAUAUUCAUAUUAUUUACAAUGAAUGCUUUAAUAUCUUUGUUUGUAUGUUUACCAUGGUGUAUUAUAUUAGUUUGUCUUAUUAUUUAUUUCAUAGCCUUUGUUUUCAUUAUUUCACUUGCAUUAUCAUCUUUAUCAUUAUUUUUUUACAUCCAUUUUCACUAGGAUUUAUCAAAAAUGGAAAAUUUUAAAAUAAAAGUAACAUUCGGCAUUUGAGAUCUUCGAGAGAAUCGAGUUUUUUUUGUUGAAUCUAAAUAAUCGAAGUUACUCCUUUUUUGAAAGACAUAAAACUUAUUAUCGAGAAUUCAAUGCGUCGUGUCCUGAUGUAUUGAACACGAUACGUUGAUUUCUCGAGACGAGGAUUUUUCAAAAUAAAUGCAAUAUUCAAUGUUUAACAUUUGAAGAAAUUGUAUCCUAACGUAUUGGGUUGCAAUUUUUUUAUAUGACUUAAACAAUCGAACACCCUUUUAAACUUUUUUAUGCGAGUUUAGACUAGUUCAUUUCUAAAGAGGUAAAAUAUCGUACCCUAACGCAUUAGGUGUGACAUUUUCUCUUUCUGAAAUGAAAAAGUCUUAAUGAGUAGUUCGAUUUUUAUAAGUUUUCUUUCAAAAUAAGGAUCGUAUUUUAAAAUUCUUCAAAGUUUUCAAUUCUCGACAUAAAGACAUUAACUAAUCAACUAGGUACCAAUUUUGGGCGUUACGAGGGUGUUAAUCCUUCCUCGUAGUAACUGACUCCCGAACCCAUUUUCUAAAUUUCGUGGACCAAAAUCGUUGUUUUAAUAAAAUUAAACCAUUUAUUAAAAACCACCACUUUACGAGGUGAUCUAAUCACACCUCAUCAAAAAGAUUGGUGGCGACUCCCAUCUUUUUUAUUUUCGUUUUCAAAAUCCAAGUUGACCCCGUUUUCAUCAAAAAAAAUGGUGUCAACAUGAAUGAUCGUCUCUAGGGGAUUGUUGUUGUUGUUGUUGGUGGUGGUGGUGGUGAUGAUUGUCUGAUCAGUGGAAAUUGCUAUGCCGGGAGCUCUGACGGCGCCGCCUCCUUCUUCAGUGGACGACAUUUUCAGGCUGAGCAAUUCGAAGUAAUUAACAAGCUGAUUUUGUGAACUGUUUUUGGCUGAGUGAUGUUGGAAAAAGGUACGAUUACGACAAAUGUUUCUAUAGCUUAUAUAAUAAACACAUGGAAAAUAUUUUUGUUAUAAUAUCAAUUUCAGCCCUUAAUAUUUAUAUUCUUGUCAAUUCUUAUUCUUUUUAGUUGAAUUUAACUCUCUAUCUUUUGAAAGUGUCAAAUUUUACUACGAAUCUUUUAGAAAAGAGUUGAAUUAAUAUUUUUAACAAAAAUAGUGAUUAAAAUAUUAAAUUUUAAACUUGACAACUCAUAUGACAAUCUACAUAUAGAUGUUUUCUUAUUUUAAAAUUAUUUGUUGACGUGGUAUAUAAGAAAAGCCAUGUUAUGCUAGCAUGAAAUGCAUAUAGAUUGUCACACAAGUUGUAGCACGAGCACCAUUAAAAAGUUAAUGUUUUACUCAAUAUUUCUGUUAAAGAAAAGCAAUUUGACUCUUUUUUGAAAGGUUAAUGACUAAAUUUAACUCAAAAUAAUAAUAAUAAUAAUAAUAAUAAUAAUAAUAAAGAAUAAAAACUAAUUUGACAAAAAAAGUAAAUGUCGAGGGCUAAUUUAAUGAUUAUAUUUUUUUUAAAGUUCCACUUAUAUAAAUACAAUAUAGGUUAAGGUAUUUGGGAGGUCGUUAUAUUAUGAGGAUUGGAUCAAAUUAAUCUCUCUAUUAUUAAAUAGAUCAAUUUAGUUUCUAUACUCUUAAAAGAGAAUCAAAUAAUUCCAAAGUGCAAUAAAGUUAACAUUUACUAUAUCUUUACUCAGUAAUUACUAGUAAUUUUAGUACUCGUCUAUAUGAUAUCUUUACUCACCAUAGCUAUACUAUUUAUCGAUAGAUGCAUUUGUCUUUGUCGUAUUUUUAGUUAAUUUCGUGAUACAAUCAUUGAUCUUACUUUUCUUUUUCUCUAAUAGGAGCAACUCUUAUGACUUUAUCACCGAAUUUUGUUCCAUUGGUUGCUCCAACACACCCUUUGUUUAAUGAGAUAAAAUUAAUAUAGUCGAUUUUUUUAUUUUUUGCACAAAGACGGAAGGAAGGGGAAAACACGGUCUUGACUCCUCUAAAAUUGAAAUUUUUGUUUUUUUACCCUUUAAAUGUAUAGAAUUAUAAAUUAUAAUGGUAAAAUUGUACUCUUCCCCCUCCUAAAAAUAACAAGGCUUUAAUUUAGUCUUUUAAAAAAUUAUAAAAAUAUUAGCUAAUAUAGUGAUUAAAUUGCAUUUUAAUUCUUAUCAAAAUUUAUAAAUUAAUUCUGAUCCCUCAAACAAAUUUCUAACGUCACCCUUAUUUUCAUAUUAGUAGAAAUUCUAAUCCGGUAUAUAUAUAUAUAUAUAUAUAUAAUAUUUCUUUUACCAACUUUAAACUUUAACUAGUUAAAGUAGAAAAAAAAUUAUUUAACAAAUAAUCCAAAGAUUGUUUAAGAACAUAAAAGGGAUGCAACUUAUCUACGUUCGGAUCGGGAUGGAUUCUUUUUUAUUUUUUUAAAAAAAAUUCUCCUAAACAAAUUAAAUCGAUUAAUCUAAAAUCCAGAAGUUACAAAAUUCUCAUAAAUAACAAGAGUUUACAAAAAGACAAGUAAAGAACACUUACUUCGGUUGAUGUAUGGUAUAAUAAGCCUGCAAAGCACUAAGAGUAAGUGAAGCAAUGGCACCCAAAAAUGCCAAUAACGUCCAAGGACUCCUAAAAUAAGUAUGAUAGCCUUGAGCUGCAUGAUUAAUCCACAUAUUCUUACAAUGAUUAUGUAUUUUCUCUUUAACCCCACUGUAAAUCGUCGGACUAGGAACCAAAUCAGUGUUCAUCUUAUUGAAAAGUUUAGCCACCACUUCAUCACUCCCCAAUCUAUUGUAUAGUAUGCCGGCGUCUCUCAGGUCUUUAACAUCUUCGGCUUCAUCGAUCAAUAAAUCAAGGAAACACAUAUAAGAAGUGACGGUGAAAUUGUUCUCGAAAUCCGGACACAUUUCGUAAGCUAUUAAGUUUAUGGUUGAAUCAUCAACGGUGAUCGGCGGUAACCGUAAUUUUCCGAAGAAGAAGAUAUGGUUGAAACUGAUGUCGGUUAAACAACUUGUUUCGCUUGCUUUUAACAUUAUCCCGGCCUUUUUAAGCUCUUUUACGGUACCAAUGGUGCAUGAACGAUACCGUUUUCCUCUUGCUUCGUUGAUAAAUCUGCGUUCAAUGAAACGCCACCACCAUGGUUUUUCUUCUUCGGCAAGGAGUCUUUGUCGUAGUAGAUGCAAUAAGUGAAUUCGCUCUCCUUCUUUUUGCUGCUCCCACCACCAUUCCCUACACCAAAAUUUGUGUUAGUCGGAAGCCAAGCUAUAAUUUCUCUUUUCUUUUUUUUUCUUUUUGUUGUUGGAUUUGGAAUUGUUAAUUUAUAUGAAGCUAAAAUUAAGAUUUUCAAAAUAGAUAACCCAACGAUUAAGUUAUUCAAUUUAUUUAAUUUAAUUGAAUAAAUUAUUAAAAACUUCGAUUCGGUAACACGGUUUAAUUAAAUUUUUUUACCCUGUUCAUAUAAAUUUUUAAAUCGGUUGGUCUAAUGACUUUCUCCGAAUUGAUAAUUCAAUUAAUUUUCAAUCCAAACCGAUUCAAACAAUAUUAACUAAACUACAAUUUUUAUUAUUGUAUUAAUGCAAAAAUCUUACCAUUUUUAAAAUAUUAAACUUUUCCAUUCUGAAAAGUUGGAUUUUUGAAAUCAUAAUUUUUUAUUUCUAAAAAAUGUACACUCAACAGGAUAAAUGUAAAACGACAGGCAGGGAUCGUUCCCAAUAAAUGAAAAAUUACACUUUACUCUCUUUUAAAUUUAUUAAAUUAUAAUAAGUCCUCAAAUUAAAAAAUAAUAAUUGUUCAAUUUUUUUUAAAAAAAAGAUAAAAUCAUAAAUUAAUACAAAAAAAAUUAAAAAUCAAUCCAUACUUGUUAAUCAAGUUGGUUGAAUAAAAAAUCAAAUAAAAUUGAAGUUAUACCAAUUGAAUUAAAGAAUGGAAUAAAUUUCUUUUUAUAUUUUUAAUAAUUUUAAAAAUUUAUAUAAUUAAACUGAAUUAUCUAAUCAAAUGGAAAAGAGAGUCUAAUAGAUUCCAUCACCCAUGUAGUUAUAAAAACCUUUUAAAAAUGAUUAUUUAUUUAAUUCCCUAAAUUACCUGUCCUCGCCUGGGUUGAUAACAGUAUCGUCGAUGAACCUUUGGAUUGCAUUCAUAAACUUUUCGCCAUUUUUUCUCGGCCUUGUAAGCAGUUCAAGAACACGAAAAGGUAAUUGGUUUUCCAACAAUAACAGAUCCGAGUACACAAAUGUCAGCAAAUCGUCUUUAAUAAACAAUUUACCAUCAUCAUCAUCACCGUAACGCCUGUAAACUGCUUGUAAAAUUGCGCAGCCGUCAACGAAGAACAUCCAAGCCAGUUCCCUGUUAUCGUAGCCAGUCUUCUCUAAUUCCUGUGGAUCAUAGCAUUUCCUCAAGCCAUCGAUCUCUUUCUUCAUGUUUCUGUACAAGGAAUCCUUAUCGACUCCAAUGUUUUUGACGAAAUGUGCCGCUAAUUUGAGCUUGAUCUCUUCGGAUUGAUAGAGGGAGGGAUCACCGUAGUGGAAUGGGCCGAUUGAGAUCACUUUCGGCGUGAAAUACUUCUUGAAAUCUUCGUUACGGCGAAGGGCUGAUGGGACUUUUCGUAUUAAUGGUUUUGCAGUGAAGUUGGGUUGGCCGGCGUAGAAAGCUCCGUCUAAUGACCGGAGAUUCGCUACUUCGCCAUCGCUGAGAGGGACGUCCGUGAACCGCAUAUCAAUUCUCACGUAAUCGUUGUUGGUGUUGUUGUCGAUGAUUGUUUGAUCAGUGGAAACUGCUCCGACGGCGCCACCUCCUUCCUCCGUGGAGGACAUUUUCAGGCUGAGCGGUUGGGAGUAAUAAAGAAGGUGAUUUUGUAAACUGCUUUUGGGUGAGUGAGUGAUGUUGGAGAAAAGGUGGCGAAGUGGAUAAGAUGCUGACAAAUAUUUUAUAGCUUACAUGAUAAACAUAUAUGGGAAAUACUUAAGGCGUUAGUGUUUAUAUUUUUACUAAUAUAAUUUUAAUUUUUAAUUAAAUUUAUUUCUCUUUUGAAAGAGUCAAUGAUAAAAAAGAAAAGUUAAAUAGUGACAAAUAUUAAAAUUGAGAAUAAUAUUACAGAACUUAAAUAAACCUUGGCCUUAACCAAGAAACUAAGACCCUGUCAGAGGGAGAAUUUUAUAUCAUUUAAAUUAUUCCAAAUAUUUAACAUUGUAAACAUGCUUCUUUACAUAUAGUAAUUGCAUUUGUUACUCUACCUAACUCAUGAAAAAUCUCAAAUUUGCAACAUCACAUGCCAACCAACCAAUUUGUUAUUCACAUUCCAACUUUCUAAAUGCAUACAAAUAUUUCAUGUUCAUCUACUAACAAAGAUCAUGCCAAGAACCCACAUGCAAAGUCAUUAUUUACCACAUUUUAACUCAACAAGACUUUUCCACAACCAAAGCCUACAAACCUUUAUAUGCAUGUCACAAUCCUUCACUGAAAAUGAUAUUUUCAUCAAUACCAGUUCAUUUUCAGUUCAAGAUUUAAUUCCUUUUCCAACCAUUCCAUCAUCCUCGAAAGCUUCAUCUAAUGACCGGAGAUUCCGUAGUUCCUUAUUGCUGCGAGUGAAGUCCGUAUCCAGUAUUGGAAUGAUCGUCUCUAGGGGAUUGUUGUUGUUGUUGGUGGUGGUGGUGGUGGUGGUGAUGAUUGUCUGAUCAGUGGAAACUGCUCUGCCGGAAGCUCUGACGGCGCCGCCUCCUUCUUCAGUGGACGACAUUUUCAGGCUGAGCGAUUUGAAGUAAUUAACAAGCUGAUUUUGUGAACUUUUUUUGGCUGAGUGAUGUUGGAAAAAGGUACGAUGACGAAAAAUGUUUCUAUAGCUUAUAUAAUAAACACAUGGAAAAUAUUUUUGUUGUAAUAUCAAUUUCAGCCCUUAAUAUUUAUAUUCUUGUCAAUUCCUUUUCUUUUUAGUUGAAUUUAACUCUCUAUCUUUUGAAAGUGUCAAAUUUUACUACGAAUCUUUUAGAAAAGAGUCGAAUUAAUAUUUUUUAACAAAAAUAGUGAGUAAAAUAUUAAAUUUUAAACAUGACAACUUAUAUGAAAGUCUAUGUGUACUUGUUUUUUUAUUUUAAAAUUAUUUGUUGAUGUGGUAUAUAAGAACAGUCGUGUUAUGUUAGCAUGAAGUGCACAUGGAUUGUCACACGAGUUGUAACACAAGUAUCGUUAAAAAUUUAAUGUUUUAGUCAAUAUUUCUGUUAAAGAAAAGCAAUUUGACUCUUUUUUGAAAGGUUAAUGGCUAAAUUUAACUCAAAAUAAUAAUAAUAAUAAUAGUAAAGAAUAAAGACUAAUUUGACAAAAAUGCAAGUGUCGAGGGCUAAUUUAAUCAUUAUAUCUUUUUUUAAAAGUUCCAUUUAUAUAAAUAUCUGGGAGGUCCUUAUAUUAUGAGGAUUGGAUCAAAUUAAUCCCUCUAUUAUUAAAUAGAUCAAUUUAGUUCCUAUACUCUUAAAAGAGAAUCAAAUAAGUCCAAAGUGCAAUAAAGUUAACAUUUACUAUAUAAAAAAUGUCUUGAUUUUUUUUUCAAUUGUAAUUCAAUUCCAAAUAAAAUGUUUCAUUUUCAAAACCAUAAAAACUUUAAAAAUAUUAACUUUGUUAAACGAUAAAUGUUAUAUUUACUUCAAUUUAGUCUUAUUUAAUUUUUUUAAUAGUAUAAAGACUAAAUUGAUCCAUUUAAUAGUAAAAGGACUACUAAUAUAAUGACUUCUCAAAUACAAUCCACUUAAAAUAACUUUUUUUGGAAACACAGACAGAAUAAACUAGACUUACGGGAUGGUGCAUCUAAUUCAACCUUCUAACAUGUCUUGAAGUAUAAUAUAUAUUUUUAUAAUACUAAUGAUAAUUGGAUUUGUUGAAUGAUGAAUGAUAGAAUUAUGAAUUUUAUUUGUGAAGUUUUUUAUGAAUAUAUACAAUUGAUUAAUAUUUUUAUAUUUAAAGUUUAUUUAAUUAUUUUUAUAUAUUAAAUAUUUUAAAAUUUUAUCAAUAAUUUUGGAAAGAUAUACAAAAACAGUGUAGUACUAAUAUGUAUUAGUUUUUGUAGAAAAAUGGUGCGCCAUUAAUGUAGUACUAAUUAACUACCUUGGAUAAAAAAUCAUUUUGCCCCUUGAAUUUGGCAAUUUCCCUCAACUUAGUUCUUAAACUUUUAUAUUAUCUACAUUAGUAUUAUAACUUGACAACUUUUCUCAAUUUUGAUGCAUGUGAUGACACAACACUCUGAUAUUGUGUCAUCCCAUCAUUUAAAAAUAAUAUUUUUAAUAAAAAUUAGGUGUUACAUGGUAGAAACGUCACCAUAAUGACCAAAAAUGAGAAAUGUUGUCAAAAUUCAUGACCGAUGUGGAUAGUGGGGAAGCCAGGGGGUUGAAAAGGGCCCUGCCCCCCCCCCAGAAAAAGGAAAAAAAUUAUUUAGGUCUCUUUAUAAUUUAUAAAAUUUUAAAUUAGUAAAGGUAAAAUUGUAUUUUGCCCCUCAAAAAUGAUAAAAAAAUUGAUUUAAUCCUUUAAAAAUGAUAAAGAUAUAUACCAUUAAAAUGGUGAAAUUACAUUAUUAUUAUCGUAAAAAUAUACAACUUAAUUUUGGAGAUUCUUCAAUUCACCAUUGCUGAGAUGAAGUCUAUACCCGGCAUUGGAAUAAUCGUCUUUAGGGGAUUGGUGCUGGUGGUGAUUGUUUGAUCAGUGGAAAUUGCUCCGCCGGGAGAUCCAACGGCGCCGCCUCCUUCCUCCGUGGACGACAUUUUCAGGCUGAGCAACAAGGUGAUGUUGGAAAAAAAGGUGGCAAAAUGGCUAUGAUCGAUGACGACAAAUGUUUCUAUAGCUUAUAAUAUGGAAAAUACUUUUGGUGCAAUAUCAAUUUAUCCUUUAAUUUUUAUAUUUUUUUUCAAUUUGAUUCUAUUAUCUCUAGUUAAAUUCAAUUCUCUACGAGUCAAAUUUGAUUACCAAUCUUUUAGAAAAGAGUCAAAUUAAUAUUUUUUAACAAAAAUAGUGACUAAAAUGUUAAAUUUCUAAAAACGACAACUCACAUGACAAUCUACAUGUACAAAUGUUAGAAUGCAUUUUAUCUUAUUUACUCAAAAAAUAAGCAAGUUAGUUUCUAUACAUCAGAUCAAAGAGCAAAUUGAUCAUUUUAUUAAAUUUUUAAUCUUUUUCUAUUAUUAAAAAUUGAUUCAUAUACAUAAGUUUGAGGUACAAUGGCACGUCACAUGUUAUGAUUUGGUUAUUCCGUUAGUCACACCAGUUUUUAACAUUACAAAUAGAUGAAAAUUUUAACAGAAAUAGCUAAGUUACUUUUUGAUCUAACAUAUAGGACUACUUUACUCAUUUUUCAAUAUAGGAAGCAAAAUGUAAUCCAACUCAAUGUACAAGGACUUCCAUGUUAUUUUUUUUUCCAAUUUCACAUUAUUUUAUCAUAUUUUAUAUAUAGAUAUAGAUAUAGAUAUUUUAAGCAUACGCCUAUCAUGGAAAUGGUAUAAUGUCCAGAUUAUCUGGUCUUUGAUUUCAUUUGUCAAUUAAUGAUUGUGGAUUGACAACAUUGACCAUUAUUCUAUGCACGGGGACUACUCAUCUACUCCUUUUCUGCCAUUCUCACUACCCAUUGCAUUCAUUUUCUAUGCCCUACUGCUCCUCUGCCGUGCACUCUCCAAUUGUAUUUAAAGACAAUAUAUACAUAUAGAUUGUAAAUUUUCUUGGCUGGAAGCUCACUGCAUGGAAGCCAAAAUCAAAACAAACUUUUGAUGGUUUAAUUGUUUUUGAGCCCUUCAAUUUCAGGUGCUAUGAGAAGUGAAUUACAACCUCAUCUUGUCAUUAUCCCAAAAUCAAAACAAGCAACUCUUGGUUGAAAGUUGAAACCAAGGGCCAAGUCAAAAUUGUUUUAGGAUGAGUCCAAAAUGAAUAAUGAAUUUGAAGGUUCAAAAUAAAAUUUUAUUAUUAUAUUAAUUUAUAAUUUCAUAAAUUUUAAAAGGAUUAAAUGAUAAAUUUACUAAUUUAAGAAGACAAUAGGGAUGGUCAAAUAUUCUAAUUGAACCUAUCUGCGAUCGGAUCGGGAUGGAUUUUUUUAAUUUAAAAAAUUAAAUAGAUUUAAUCGAAAUUCUAGGAGUUACAAAAUUCUCAUAAAUAACAAGAGUUUAUAAAAAGUACACUUACUUUGGUUGAUGUAUGGUAUAAUAAGCCUGCAAAGCACCGAUAAAAAGUGCACCAAUGGCACCCACAAAUGCGAAAAACGUCCAACGAGUCCUAAAAAAAGGACGGUAAACUUGAGCUGGAUAUCUAAUCCACAUAUUUUUAUGAUGAUCAUGUAUUUGCAGUUUAACAUGUCUGUAAAUCAUCAGACUGGGAACCAAAACCAUGUUCAUCUUCUUGAUAAGCUUAGCCACUUCUUUAUCACUCCCCAAUCUAUUGUAUAGUAUGCCGGAGUGUCUCAGUUCCUUAACAUCUUCGGCUUCAUCGAUCAAUGAAUCAAGGAAACCCAUAUAUGAAGUGACGGUGAAAUUGUUGUUGUAGAAAUCCGGACACAUUUCGUAAGCUAUUAAAUUCAUGGUUGAAUCAUCGAUGGUGAUCGGCGGUAACCGUAAUUUUCCGACGAAGAAGUAACUGUUGAAACUGAUGUCGGCUAAACAACUUGUUUCGCUUGCUUCUAACCGUAUCCCGGUGUUUUUAAGCCCAUUUACGUUACGAAAAAGGUGUGAAUGGUGCGGUUUUGUUCUUGUGUGGUCGCUGCGAUUUGUGAAGGAUAUGCAAAACCUAGAAUCAGCUGGUUUUUCUUUAUUGAAAAGGAGUCUUACUCGUAGUAGAUGCAAUAAGUGAAUUCGCUCUCCUUGCUGCGGCCACCAUUCA